This 66917-nucleotide long non-coding RNA is filed under the name Hordeum vulgare. RNAcentral's name for it is "long non-coding RNA (HVUL_LNC011031)". Lineage: Eukaryota; Viridiplantae; Streptophyta; Magnoliopsida; Poales; Poaceae. The record is from RNAcentral.
UAGCGUCCUGCUCCGGCUGUGCGCGUGCUGCUGCGGUGGCAGAGUACGCCGUCGUCCGCGCAGGGGGGCAUUGCGGUUUCUGCGCGGUUCUACGGCUGGCGCGGCGCGGGCGAGCCCCGGUCCUGGCCGCGUCGGGGAAGUUGACCUUGGCCUUGCUGCCACGGAGGCGACGGGCGGCGACGUCGUAGGCCCGGGCGGCAUCAUCGGCCGUGUCGAACGUGCCGAGCCAGACGCGGGUGCCCUUGUGCGGGUCGCGGAUCUCCGCCGCCCACUUGCCCCACGGCCGCUGCCGGAUGCCAUGGAGGUGGCCGGUGCGCUUCUUCCUGCUCGCCGCAUGCGCCGCGCGGCCACCGUCGUAGGCUGCAAAAAGGAAUCUCAUCAGUCUUCCUCUUCCAUGGUACCAAGAACCAACGGCCGUGAACCUUGUACGUUUCAUGAUCGCACACUCAGAUGAAACUAUGAGAGUUAUAGCCUACCCGGACGUGGAGAGAAGGCAGGCUUGGAUGCAAAGACGACAUGGUCGUCGCCGCCGUCCUCCUCCGCCCGCAGGUCGAAGUGGUCAUCGAAGUCCUCGAAGGCGGCCUCGAAGACGUCGUCGUCGGCAUCUGGGGUGCUGCUGUGGCGGCUCUUGCUCACGCCGCCCUUCUUGGAGCUCGUGGGCGGGGCCCGGCCGCCCGCUGCCGCCUGCUUCGACGGACGGCCCGCCGACGGCGGGAUCAGCUGCGCUAGGAUGGCGCCGCCACACAUUGUUUUCUCUUCCUGUCUCGCGCUUUCUUCUCUCACGUCUUGUGUUGGUCACCGAGAGACGGAGCUGCGCCUACUUAUAAACGCAAGCUAGCUGACCAAGACGAUCGUGUGUGUCGUGUGGUUGGCAGGAGAAAAUUGGUUAUUUACCAUUUUCAAUACUCGGCUUCUCAAAAUUGCCACUCUUAAGAUUGGCUGCGUAAAAGUGCCACUCAGUUUGAUUGCACUUUGAUUAACAUGCCAUUUUCUCUUUUUUAUUGGUUUUCUUUUUCUUUUUCCAUUUCCUGGCACCUGAAGGGACCAAAAUACCCCUGGAUAAUUCAACCUUAUCUCACGCCUGUGUGGAUUGGUUGGGUCUGUGAGGUGUUUCGUUCUCCACCAAAGCCCGUCGCCGUAGCUCGCUGAUGCCAGUGCGAGGCAUCGCAGCUCGCCGCCCUAGCUUGCCAACGCCUGCACCAGCAACUGCAGUUCGCCACCACCCACCGUUGCUCACCCAAGCCUGUGCGCGACGGCGGAGCUCGCCGUUGGUGCUCGUCCACAUUUGCACGAGCCGUCGUAUAGCUUGCCGGCCAUGCCCGCGAGCAACCGCAGCUCAUCCGUGCAUGUGCGCUAGCGCAGCUCGUCGUGUGACAUGCUAGAGAGGUGAGGCAGGAACAUGCAGGUAACCUAGAUGUUCAAGUUUAUUAACGAAGGGAGUAUUCAACUUCCUCAAAUAACUAUAGCAUCAAUUUCGUAGAGAUCGUUCAUCCAAUUUCAAUUUUUAGCUUUCUUUUUGGAGUCAACUUCUUUGUUGGAGCUGUAGUGGACAUCCUCUGUAGUUGUUGUUGUUGCUUGUGAAGAUGUAUCCUCUCCCAACAAGAAAGCAAGGCGUCUGCAUGUAUGUGUGUUAUACAAUGAAAUGAACACGUUGCUUCUCAUUUUCAUAUUGUUGAACAUAUAUUCAGAAGAUUCGCUACAGUUUGCCUGAAUGUAAUGUGGUAUCAAUGACAUGUACAUAACACCACCAAGGUAGAACAAAUCAUCAAGUUGUAGGAGAACAUGACAUCAUUCUAAAUGAACCAUGCAGAAUAGAAUUUACAUAUUCUAAAAUUUCCCUUGUAUACUUCUACUAGUUGUCUCUGAUGUGCAGGUUAACACAAGUAAUGGCAUAUUCGAAGGUACAGAUAGAAGAAUACUGUGUAGAAGGAUUGAGUUCCAUUCCACUGCGAUACCUAGAGAUAGAUGACGCAGAGUGUCGAUAAGAGGCGCGUGGGCGCAUGGCGUCCAGGCAAUCUGUGACACGCGAUGUCCAGCCAAUCGGCAGCCCACUUCCAAGCAAUCGGCAAGCAGGAGCAGCCCUACAAUGUGCAGGUAGAAGAGCUGAUGGAUCAUGGGGGAGGACCAGAGGAGGGCUUGGCGAACUGUAUGCGGUGAUCUCGGCCGACGGCGGGCGCUCAACGGCGUUGUUUCAAGUUGGAUGCAAAAAACUAGUACAUGUGCAUAGGCUAGGGGUAUAUUGGUCCCUUCAGAUGUUGGGAAAUGGGAAAAGAAAAAGGAAAGCAUUGAAAAAGAGGAAAUGGCAUUGUAAUCAAAGUACACAUGGGUUGGAUGACAUUUUUACGAAACCAAUCUUGAGAGUGGCAAUUUUGAGAAGCCCAAUAUUAAAAGUGGCAAAUAGCCGAUUUUCUCGGUUGACAGGGAACCGGUACAUUGGACGACUCAACAACUGAGGUGGCAUCACAUGAUGCCAGGUGGCAGGAAGCCAGGAACACAACAGUCAGCUGCCGAAUGACACGGCACAACUACGUGGCAAGGAGGAACACACAAUUUGGCGCGUGAAUAGCUCAACUUUUUCCUGAUACAUGAACUUGUGCGAGCCACUUGGCUCAGCUCCGCAAAUGAUCGAGCCUAGACCCAGAAAGAAAUGGACGACCACUUGUAUUAGUUAGGCCUAACCUAAUUGAUAUCACUGAUUGAUUACUUGACCAAUGACGUCGAACCGGAACAGCAAUAAUCAAGGUAUUUUUUUAAUUGAAACGACAAUAAUCAAGUAUUACUUUUAGUAGGAUUAGUCGGCUAGCUAACCUUAAUUUCUCUAAGCAUGCAUCUCCUUUAAAAAAAAAUCAUCUUCUUCAUAACACACUUUCUCCUUGUCUCUAAUCAUGCAUGGGGUGCUUCAACAACAACAACACUCAUAAGCCUUGGGUUUUACUCUUUCUCAACAUUUUCUUGAUCCAAUGUAGAUUGACCUUGUGUAUAAAAUGUGUCAAACAUUAAUCAGCUAAUCCAUUUACUCACAUACACACACAAUGGGCACUGAACACCAGAGUCAUAGUCUUUUAGGAUUGGAAAUAUUCAUUGUAGACACCUCACCACUAAUAGGGACAUUAGUGAUAUUGUUGCCCACUAAAAUUAUAAGCAAUAGAAAUGAGACACAGAGCAUUAAAUAUGGGAUGCGACUGGCUUGGGCUAUAACCACUCUCCUAACCAUUUGGCACGAGGGCCUCGUCAGGGUUAGAAGCGCAUCUCGUCGUGUCACAAGAAUGGAUAUCGUUACAAGUACAUGUACUGAAAAGAAGAGAUAUAAAUAGAGGGUUGGCUUACACUCGCCACAAGCUACAUCAGAAUCACAUCAGUACAUUACAUAUUCAUCAAGAGUAAGAGAGGGUCCGACUACGGAUGAACACAAACGACAAAAGAAGAACGACGUUCAUCCUUGCUAUCCCAGGCUGUCGGCCUGGAACCCAUCCUAGAUCGAUGAAGAAGAAGAAGAAGCAACUCCAAAUGAACAAUCAACGCGCUCACGUCGAGUAACCUUUACCUGUACCUGCAACUGGUGUUGUAGUAAUCUGUGAGCCACAGGGGACUCAACAAUCUCAUUUCCAAAGGUAUCAAGACUAGCAAAGCUUAAUGGGUGAGGCAUGGUUAAGUGGUGAGGUUGCAACAGCGGCUAAGCAUAUAUUUGGUGGCUAACUUACGAGUACAAGAAAUAAGAGGGGGAAGAUCUAUGCAUAACGGACGUGAACUACUCAUGAUCAAAUGACUGAUCCUGAACACCUACCUACGUCAGACAUAACCCCACCGUGUCCUCGAUCGGAGUAAGAACUCACGAAGGAGACAGUCACGGUUACGCACACAGUUGGCAAGUUUUAAUUAAGUUAACUUCAAGUUAUCUUUAACCAGUGUUAAACAAAGUUUCCACGUUGCCACAUAACCGCGGGCACGGCUUUCCGAAAGAUUUAACCCUGCAGGGGUGCUCCAACUAGUCCAUCACAAAUUACCACAAGCCGCAUAGAAAUCCUCCAUCACGAAGCUCGCGAUCUCGUCGGAUUCCCUAGUGGAAAACCUCAACUCUGAGAUUACCCAAAGCAUCACCGGAAUCCCCAUGCACAAGAUAUCUCGUCAAAGGUAAAACUAAUCCAGCAAGGCCGCCCGAUGUGUCGACGAUCCCGAUAGGAGUCGCGUACCUCGUUCUCAGGACACGACGGAUGAGCUAGACGUCGGGAUCGCUAAACCUCUGGGUGACCAGAGGGGUGCCGGACAUCGCUCAGGUGGGACCAACACUCAUGAGGAGCACUGGCCCGGGGGUUGAUUAAAAUAGUCCGCGGGUGCCGGCGGGUCCCUAUGCAUUAUUAUUAGGUUAUUAGGCAAAUGUAGUACCAAAGUUGGGCCUUGCCAGACCAGCUUUAAUCUAAAACGAAUUAUCAAGGGGGUCCCCAUAACAACCCCGAUCGUGUUAGGAGCGCUCAUUUAUGGAACAUAACACCGGUAGCCGAAACUAAGGGGGCAAAGGUGGAACAAAACACUAGGCUAGAAAGGCCGAGCCUUCCACGUUUUACCAAGUAUAUAGUUGCAUUAAAUUAAAUAGCAUUUAAUAUGGUGAUAUAACAAGGAAUACAUGUAUUCACAUGGAAGCAUCUGCACCUGCAACUAGCAACGCUAUCAACAGGGUUAAGCAAGCAGUAACAUAGCCAAUCAGUGGUUUGCUAGGUUGAACAGGUUGAAGGUUUCAAGGCAUUGUUGAGAGGCUGAUAUUUAACAUGUGGUAGGAACGAGACAUAACGAUAGAAGCGGUAAAACUAGCAUGGCAAUUAUAGUAAUGGUAUCUGGGGAAAUGAUCAUCUUGCCUGAGAUCCCGCUUGGAAGAAGAAUGCCUCCGUGAAGUAGACGAACUGACGUAGUCGAACGGGUCCUCACAAUCCGACACGCUUGCGGAACUCUAUCGAGACGAAGCAAACCGGAAACACAAAUCAAUACACGAAAUUCACCACACGAUGCAACAACACAAAUGAUGCAUGAGCAGCUGAAAACAUGCAAGACACGGCAUGACAAUUCACGAUGAACAAACACUACACAUUAAGUGAAGUUCAAUAUACAACGGGUUGCAUAUUGACGAAAAUCCACGUAUAAUUAUUUAGUUCUAUCCCGAUUAAGUACACGUCAAUAUUAAAUGUGAUUAAACAUGGCAAGAGGUGAAGCGACGUUCCUACAUUCAUCCUAGUCGGUUAACACGCGAAACAUAGAACGGAGCUACGACACAAGAACAUGCAACACAAGAUUAUAUGCCAUGAAUGUGUUAUGCAUGCAAGCUCAUUACAUCACGGCAAGAAGGGAAAGAAAACAGGUGUCGCCACGGCGAGCGAAAGGGAACUAUGGCGACAAGUCGGAAACGAUGCCAUGGCAACAUUCCUAUCCCGAUAACUCGUCGAGAUAUCGGUGCCAACGAAUAGGGAGCGCGUGCGGGAACGCUAAAUAAAGAUGGGGUGAUCCCGGUUACCGGGUUCCCAUGUGUCGGGGCUCAACGACAGGAACACGUGCAACGGCAACAUAAGGCCCAAACUGUUGGAAAUAUGCCCUAGAGGCAAUAAUAAAUUAGUUAUUAUUAUAUUUCUUUGUUCAUGAUAAUCGUUUAUUAUCCAUGCUAUAAUUGUAUUGAUUGGAAACACAGUGCAUGUGUGGAUACAUAGACAAAACACUGUCCCUAGUAAGCCUCUAGUUGACUAGCUCGUUGAUCAAAGAUGGUCAAGGUUUCCUAACCAUAGGCAAGUGUUGUCACUUGAUAACGGGAUCACAUCAUUAGGAGAAUCAUGUGAUGGACUAGACCCAAACUAAUAGACGUAGCAUGUUGAUCGUGUCAUUUUGUUGCUACUGUUUUCUGCGUGUCAAGUAUUUGUUCCUAUGACCAUGAGAUCAUAUAACUCACUGACACCGGAGGAAUGCUUUAUGUGUAUCAAAUGUCGCAAAGUAACUGGGUGACUAUAAAGAUGCUCUACAAGUAUCUCCGAAGGUGUUCGUUGAGUUAGUAUGGAUCGAGACUGGGAUUUGUCACUCCGUGUGAUGGAGAGGUAUCUCGGGGCCCACUCGGUAAUACAACAUCACACACAAGCCUUGCAAGCAAUGUGACUUAGUGUAAGUCACGGGAUCUUGUAUUACGGAACGAGUAAAGAGACUUGCCGGUAAGCGAGAUUGAAAUAGGUAUGCGGAUACCGACGAUCGAAUCUCGGGCAAGUAACAUACCGAAGGACAAAGGGAAUGACAUACGGGAUUAUAUGAAUCCUUGGCACUGAGGUUCAACCGAUAAAGAUCUUCGGAAUAUGUAGGAUCCAAUAUGGGCAUCCAGGUCCCGCUAUUGGAUAUUGACCGAGGAGUCCCUCAGGUCAUGUCUACAUAGUUCUCGAACCCGCAGGGUCUGCACACUUAAGGUUCGACGUUGUUUUAUGCGUAUUUGAGUUAUAUGGUUGGUUACCGAAUGUUGUUCGGAGUCCUGGAUGAGAUCCAGGACGUCACGAGGAGCUCUGGAAUGGCCCGGAGGUAAAGAAUGAUAUAUAGGAAGUCCUGUUUUGGUCACCGGAAAAGUUUCGGGCUCAUCGGUAGUGUACCGGGAGUGCCGGGGACCAUCGGGAGGGGUGUCACGCCCCAAGGGGUCUCAUGGGCUAUGGGAAGAGAUAAAACAGCCCCUAGUGGGCUGGAAUAAGUUCCCACUAAGGCCCAUAAGGUUUGAGAAGGAAAAAACACAAGGUGGAAAGAGUUUCCAAGUGGGAAGGUGGAAUCCUACUCCAAGUAGGAUUGGAGUAGGACUCCUCCACCUCCAAUUUCGGCCAAACCUUGAGGGUUUGAGGCUGCCUCUUCCCUCCCCCUCCCUCCUAUAUAUACUUAGGUAUUAGGGCUGAUUUGAGACAACUUUUGCCACGGCAGCCCGACCACAUACAUUCACGGUUUUACCUCUAGAUCGCGUUUCUGCGGAGCUCGGGCGGAGCUCUGCUGAGAUUAGAUCACCACCAACCUCCGGAGCACCGUCACGCUGCCGGAGAACUCAUCUACCUCUCCGUCUCUCUUGCUGGAUCAAGAAGGCCGAGAUCAUCGUCGAGCUGUACGUGUGCUGAACACGGAGGUGCCGUCCGUUCGGCACUAGAUCGGAGCGGAUCGUGGGACGGAUCGCGGGACGGUUCGCGGGGCGGAUCGAGGGACGCGAGGACGUUCCACUACAUCAACCGCGUUUCUUAACGCUUCUGCUGUGCGAUCUACAAGGGUACGUAGAUCGGAAAUCCCCUCUCGUAGAUGGACAUCACCAUGAUAGGUCUUCGUGCGCGUAGGAAAUUUUUUGUUUCCCAUGCGACGUUCCCCAACAGUGGCAUCAUGAGCUAGGUUCAUGCGUAGAUGUAAUCUCGGGUAGAACACAAAAGUUUUUGUGGGCGGUGAUGUGCGUUUUUCUGCCCUCCUUAGUCUUUUCUUGAUUCCGCGGUAUUGUUGGAUCGAAGCGGCUCGAACCGACAUUACUCAUACGCUUACGAGAGACUGGUUUCAUCGCUAUGAGUAACUCCGUUGCUCAAAGAUGACCGGCGAGUGUCGGUUUCUCCAACUUUAGUUGAAUCGGAUUUGACCGAGGAGGUCCUUGGAUGAGGUUAAAUAGCAAUUCAUAUAUCUCCGUUGUGGUGUUUGCGUAAGUAAGAUGCGAUCCUACUAGAUACCCAUGGUCACCACGUAAAACAUGCAACAACAAUUAGAGGACGUCUAACUUGUUUUUGCAGGGUAUGCUUGUGAUAUGAUAUGGCCAACGAUGUGAUGUGAUAUAUUGGAUGUAUGAGAUGAUCAUGUUAUAAUAGUUAAUAUCGACUUGCACGUCGAUGGUACGGCAACCGGCAGGACCAUUGGGUUGUCUUUAAACUAACGUUUGUGCUUGCAAAUGUGUUUACUAUAUUGCUAGGAUGUAGCUUUAGUAGUAAUAGCAUGAGUAGCACGACAACCCCGAUGGCGACACGUUGAUGGAGAUCAUGAUGAUGGAGAUCAUGGUGUGACGCCGGUGACAAGAAGAUCGUGCCGGUGCUUUGGUGAUGGAGAUCAAGAAGCACAUGAUGAUGGCCAUAUGAUGUCAAUUAUGAAUUGCAUGUGAUGUUAAUACUUUAUGCACCUUAUCUUGCUUAGAACGACAGUAGCAUUAUGAGGUGAUCUCUCACUAAAAUUUCAAGACGAAAUUGUGUUCUCCCCGACUGUGCACCGUUGCGACAGUUCUUCAUUUCGAGACACCACGUGAUGAUCGGGUGUGAUAGACUCAACGUUCACAUACAACGGAUGCAAAACAGUUGCACACGCGGAACACUCGGGUUAAGCUUGACGAGAUUAGCGUGUGCAGACAUGGCCUCGGAACACAUGAGACCGAAAGGUCGAGCAUGAAUCGUAUAGUUGAUAUGAUUAGCAUAGAGAUGCUUACCACUGAAACUAUUCUCGACUCACGUAAUGAUCGGACUUGAGAUAGUGGAUUUGGAUCAUGUACCACUCAAAUGAUUAGAGAGAUGUACUUUUUGAGUGGGAGUUCUUAAGUAAUAUGAUUAAUUGAACUAAUUGUCAUGAACAUAGUCUAGUGCUCUUUGCAAAUUACGAUGUAGCUUGCGCUAUAGCUCUACUGUUUUUAUAUGUUCCUAGAGAAAAUUUAGUUGAAAGUUGAUAGUAGCAAACUUUGCACACUGAGUCUGUAAAACCGAGGAUUGUCCUCGUUGCUGCGCAGAAGGCUUAUGUCCUUAAUGCACCACUCGGUGUGUUGCACCUCAAGCAUCGUCUAUAGAUGUUGUGAACAUCCGACAUACACGUUUAUGAUGACUACACGAUAGUUCAGUGCAAAAUAUUUAAUGGCUUAGAAGCAAGGCGCCGAAAACGUUUUGAAACGUCACGGAACAUAAGUGAUGUUCUAAAGAGAUGAAAUUGUGAUUUCAUGCUUGUGCCCUUGUUAAGAGGUACGAGACCUCCGACAAGAUUCUUUGUCCACAAAGUAAAGGAGAAAAGCUCAAUCGUUGAGCAUGUGCUCAGAUCGACAAUCGCUUGAAUCAAGUGGGAGUUAAUCUUCCAGAUGAGAUAGUGAUGGUUCUCCAAAGUCACUGCCACCAAGCUGUUAGAGCUUCGUGAUGAACUAUAACAUAUCAAGGAUAGAUACAAUGAUCCUUGAGCGAUUCGCGAUGUUUGACACUGCGAAAGUAGAAAUCAAGAAGGAGCAUCAAUAGUUGAUGGUUAGUAAAACCACUAAAUUUCGAUAAAGGCCAGGGCUAGAAGGGAUACUUCGUGAAACGGCAAAACAAUUGCUGCACUAAUGAAGAGACCCCAGAUUGAACCCAAGCCUGGGACUAAGUGCUUCUGUUAUGAGGGGAACGGUCACUGAGGCGAAGCAACUCUAGAUACUUGUUAGAUAAGAAGGCUGGCAAAAGUCGAAAGAAGUAUAUUUGAUAUACAUGAUGUUGAUGUAUACUUUACUAGUACUCCUAGUAGCACGAGGGUAUUGGAUACCGGUUCGGUUGCUAAGUGAUUAGUAACACGAUAUGAAAGCUACGGCAUAAACGGAGACUAGCUAAAGGCGAGGUGACGAUACGUGUUGGAAGUGUUUCCAAGGUUGAUAUGAUCAAACGCCGCACACUCCCUCUACCAUCGGGAUUGGUGUUAAACCUAAAUAAUUGUUAUUUGGUGCUUGCGUUAAGCAUGAACAUGAUUGUAUCGUGUUUAUUGCAAUACGAUUAUUCAUUUAAAGAGAAUAAUGGUUACUCUAUUUGCUUGAAUAAUCACCUUCAAUGGUUUAUUGAAUCUCGAUCGUAGUGUUACACAUGUUCAUGAUAUUGGUGCCAAAAGAUACGAGAUAAUAAUGAUAGUACCACUUACUUGUGGCACUGCCGCUUGAGUCAUGUUGGUAUAAAUUGCAUGAAGAGGCUCCAUGCUGAUGGAUCUUUAUACUCACUUGAUUUUGAAUCACUAGUGACAUGCAAAUCAUACCACAUGAGCAAGGCCUUGUUUUCAUUGAGAUGAAACAAGAUAGUAACUUGUUGGAAGUGAUACAUUUUGAUGUAUGCAGUCCAAUGGGUGCCGAGGCACGCAGUGGAUAUCAUUAUGUUCUUACUUCAAUGACGAUUUGAGUAGAUACAAGAGUAUUUACUUAAUGAAUCACAAGUCUGAAAUAUUGAAAAGUUUAAUUCUGUUUCAGGAGUGAAGUUCUCGUAACAAGAGGAUACACUGUCUACGAUAUGAUCAUAGAAAUGAAUAUCUGAGUUACGAGUUUUGGUACGCAGUUAAGACAAUGUGGAAAUUGUUUCGCAGUUCAUGCCACCUGGAACAUCAUAGUGUGAUGAUGUGUCUGAACGUCAUAGCCACGCACUAUUUGAUAUGGUGCAUACUAUGAUGUCUCUUAUCGAAUUACUACUAUCGUUUAUGGGUUAUGCAUUAGAGACAACCGCAUUCACUUUAAAUAGGGCACCGCGUAUUUGCGUUGAGAUGACACAGUAUAGACUGAGGUUUAGAGAAAUCUAAACUGUCGUUUCUUGAAAGUUUGGAGCUGCGAUGCUUAUGUGAAAAAGUUUCAGUCUGAUAAGCUCGAACCCAAAGCGGAUAAAUGCAUCUUCAUAAGAUAUCCAAAACAGUUGGAUGCAUCUCCUAUCUCAGAUCCGAAAGCAAAGUGUUUGUUUCUAGAAACGGGUUCUUUCUCGAGGAAAGGUUUCUCUCGAAAGAAUUGAGUGGGAGGGUAGUAGAACUUGAUGAAGUUAUUGAACCAUCACUUCAACCAGUGUGUAGCAGGGCGCAGGAAGUUGUUCGUGUGGCGCCUACACCAAUUGAAGUGAAAGCUGAUGAUGGUGAUCAUCGAGCAUCAGAUCAAGUUACUACAAGCCUCGUAGGUUGACAAGGUCGCGUACUACUGCAGAGUGGUACGGUAACCCUGUCUUGGAGGUCAUGUUGUUGAGCAACAGUGAACCUACGAGUUAUGGAGAAAGCAAUGGUGGGCCCGGAUCCCGACAAAUGGCUGGAAGCCAUGAAAUCCGAGAGAGGAUCCAUGUAUGAAAACAAAGUGUAGACUUUGGAAGAACUACUUGAUGGUCAUAGGACUAUUGAGUAAAGAUGGAUCUUUAAAAGGAAGACAGACGAUGAUGGUGAUAAGUCACUAUUAAGAAAAGCUCGACUUGUCGCAAAGAUGUUUUCGACAAGAUCAAACCGUUGACUAUGAUGAGACUUUCUCACUCGUAGCGAUGCUAAAAGUCUGUUAGAAUUAUGUUAGUAGUUGAUGCAUUAUUUAUGAAAUAUUGCACAUAGGAUGUCAAAACAUUGUUUCCUCGACGGUUUCCAUGAGCAAACAUUGUAUGUGAUACAACCAGGAGGUUUUGUCGAUCCUAAAGAUACUAGCAAGUAUGCAAGCUCCAGCGAUCCUUCAAUGGACUGGUGCAAGCAUCUCGGAGUUGGAAUAUACACUUUGAUGAGAUGAUCAAAGAUUUUGGGGUUGUACAAGGUUUGUGAGAAACUUGUAUUUCCGAAGAAGUGAGUGGGAGCACUAUAGAAUUUCUGAUAAGUAUAUGUGGUUGACAUAUUGUGGAUCAGAAGUAAUGUAGAAUUUCUGUAAAGCAUACAAGGUUGUUUGAAAGGAGUUUUUCAAAGGAAUACCUGGAUUGCGCUACUUGAACGUUGAGCAUCAAAGAUCUACGGAGAUAGAUCGAAAGCGCUUAAUAGAAGUUUCCACAAGAUGCAUGCCUUGACAAGUUUUUGAAGGAGUUCAAAAUAGAUCAGCAAAGAAGGAGUUCUUGGUUGCGUUGUGAGGUGUGAAUUUGAGUAAGACUCAAAACCCGACCACGGCAGAAUAAAGAGAAUUGAGGAUGGUCGUCUUCUAUGCCUUAGCCGUAGACUCUAAAGUAUGCCAUGCUGAGUACCGCACCUGAUGUGUGCCUUGCAGCAAGUCUGUUAAGAGGUACACAGAGUGAUCCAGGAUUGAAUCACUGAUCAGCGGUCAAAGUUAUCCUUAGUAACUAAAUAGACUAAGGAAUUUUUCUCGAUUAUGGAGGUGGUUAAAGAGUUCGUCGUAAAGGGUUACGUCGAUGCAAGCUUUGACACUAAUCCGAAUAACUAUGAGUAGUGAAACGGAUUCAUAUAGUAGAGUAGAUAUUUGGAGCAUUUCCGAAUAGCACGUAGUAGCAACAUCUAUAAGAUGACAUAAAGAUUUGUAAAGAACGCACGGAUCUGAAAGUUUCAGAACCGUUGACUAAAACCUCUCUCACGAGCAAGACGUGAUCACACCCCAGAACUAUAUGGGUGUUGGAUUCGUUGAAAUCACAUGGUGAUGUGAACUAGAUUAUUGACUCUAGUGCAAGUGGUAGACUGUUGGAAAUAUGCCCUAGAGGCAAUAAUAAAUUAGUUAUUAUUAUAUUUCUUUGUUCAUGAUAAUCGUUUAUUAUCCAUGCUAUAAUUGUAUUAAUUGGAAACACAGUGCGUGUGUGGAUUCUCGAGACAGACUCCCAGACUCCCAAAACAGUGCCGUCUCCGAUUCCAAAAUCACCGUCGGCCAUUAAUGGAGACCAAUGACGCAAAUCCGAUCCCCAAUCUGCUCGCCUUCCUUCUUCAAAGAUCUUCCCGUUCCUCAUGGAACAGCGCCGCCGCUUCCUGCUCACUUCCCCAUCAGGCAUCAGCUAGACGUUGGAGUCUUGGAGAUCCCGUUCCUCACUUCCCGGUGAUCCCGUUCCUCCUUUGAGAAUUGAGAUAAAUACAUGACCCUGCCUGCAUCUCUAUUCUCUAAUAUCUCUCUUUCUCUGUUUCAGACUUUCAGUGGACAGGGGAAUAAGGGAUCUAUUUGAGGCAGGGGGAGGGCUGUUGUUCUUGUUCGCUGGGAAUUGCUGCUGUUCUUGUUCGCUGCCAGUGCCUGCUGCUGCCAGGCCGCCAGGGGGAGGGGGCGAAGGCAGGCAAGGGGAGGGGCCGAAGGGAGGGGCCGAAGGCAGGUUGGAUCUGUUUCAGGUAAUCAGGUUCUCCACUAGUUCAUUUUCUUUUAGAACAGAUUUUUUCUUCCCGGUGAAACAAAUCACAUGAACAUCAAACACCUGAACUGCAGAACCGGAGAAGGGUCCUGUUGACUGGCACUCACGGAUCUGCUGAUUUGGCCGCCUACAUCAACAUUCAGGUGCCUUUGUUCCCUGUUUUAAUCAUUUUAUGCUGCUUGUUCUUGAUAAGUAACAUGUCCUUUAGAAAGCAUUUAUCUGGUAGUAACAAAAGGAAGAUAAAAAAGCAAAAAGAUGAAGAGGUAAAAUCUCUAAAAGAAUCACUUAAUAGAUAUUUCAAACCUGGUAGUUCUUCUAGAGGUCCCGUGGAAUUGGCCAUAGUAUGUGUUGAACAACCAACUGAGAAUGCAAAUGCUACUGAUGAUGAUAUGGAUGUGGGUAAUGGUAAUUCUAGCGAGCAUGAAAAUGUAACUCGUUCAUCAAAUUGUGAAUCACCGAGUCAGGGCCCUGCACCGAGUGUCGAUAAACAAGAACCAUCCACUGUUGAUAUUUUUGACCCAAGAAACUGGGAUAAUCUGGAUGAUAAGGCAAGGGAUAUUUUAGUUGAGAAGGGCCCUGUAAGGAAUGAUGAUAUUGUGUUCCCUCCAGAUAGUAAUUCUAGACAUUUUUCACUAUCUUAUUAUUCCAGAAAGUUGAGGAAUGGAGAGAGGUACAUGCCAGGAAAUGGUUGGUUUACUCUGAACAUGCCAACAAAGUGUAUUGUUUUUGUUGCAAGCUUUUCAAAUCCCAUAGCAACAAGAGUGCGUUAGCUGGUAAUGGGCUGAGUGUCUGGAAGCAUCUUAGCGAGAGGCUUAAAGAACAUGAAAAUGGUGUAGAACACAUUAAAACCAUGAACACUUGGAACGAGUUAAAAGUUAGACUGGCCAAAAAUAAAACCAUUGAUAAGGAUUUGCAGCAGCAGAUUAAUAAGGAGAAAGAACGUUUGAGACAAGUGUUAGUGAGAUUAGUAGCAAUUGUUAAAUAUCUUGGUAAACGUAACUUGGCUUUCCGUGGAUCUAGUGAGAAACUUUAUCAACACAACAAUGGUAAUUUUUUGGCAUGUGUAGAGAUGAUUGCUGAAUUUGAUCCAAUAAUGCAAGAACAUCUUAGAAGAAUUCAGAAUGAUGAAAUUUAUCAUCACUAUCUCAGCCACAAAAUUCAGAAUGAGUUGAUUUCUCUAUUGGCCUCUAGUGUUACUAGUUCUAUCUCACAAAUUAUUAAAGAAGCUAAAUAUUUCUCCAUAAUUCUUGAUUGUACUCCAGAUGUUAGCCAUCAAGAACAAAUGACCCUAAUUAUUCGAUGUGUUAACAUGUCAAAUAGAAAAAUGAAAAUAGAAGAUUUUUUAUGGAAUUUUUGACAGUGGAUGACACUUCUGGUUUGGGUCUUUUUAAUGUACUUCUUGAUGCAAUUGAGUCUUAUGGCUUAAAUAUUGAUAAUGUAAGGGGCCAAGGGUACGAUAAUGGUUUCAACAUGAAAGGAAACAAACAAGGGGUACAAAGUCGUUUACUUGAAAAAAAAUCCAAGAGCUUUAUAUCUGCCAUGUGCGUGUCAUAGCCUCAAUCUUACUUUGUGUGAUAUGGCAAGUUCUUGUAGUAAAGCUAUAUCCUUCUUUGGAAUUGCGCAACGAAUUUAUGUUUUAUUUUCAAGUUCCACUAAAAGAUGGAAAGUUUUACUUGAUCAUAUUCCUAGUUUAACCGUAAAAGGUUUGUCUAAUACUCGAUGGGAGAGUCGAAUCAAAAGUGUAAAGGCUAUUAGAUAUCAAGCUCCACAAUUAAGGAUCGCUUUGUCCGAGUUAUGUAAAAUUUGUGAUGAUGCCAAGUCAAAGAGCGAUGCAAAAAAUUUAUUUGAUGCGCUUGGUAGUUUUGAGUUUUUACUUGGCAUGGUUAUUUGGCAUGAUAUAUUAUUUGCUGUAAACAUGGUGAGCAAGAAGUUGCAGUCUGCAUCUAUGUGUGUUGACUCUACCUUGCAGCAAAUUGAAGGCGUAAUGCAAUUUUCUGACAAGUAUAGAGAUGAAUGAUUUGCAUCUUGUGUAACUAUCGCCAAAGGUCUUGCAAUUGAUAUGGGCAUAGAACCAUCAUUUCCAAUAAAACAUAAUGUUACUAGGAAGAAACAAUUUGAUGAACCUGAUAACGAUGAAGAAGUUCUAAAAGCCGAGAAGGCGUUCGAAGUUAAUUAAUUUUUAGUUGUGGUUGAUAUUGCAAGGGUCUCUCUGAGAACUAGAUUCAAAGAACUCAAAGUUUUGAAAAGUAUAUUUGGCUUCUUACUUAGCUCAAAAGACAAGGAGUUAUUGGAUGAUGUCGAACUAUGAAAAUGUUGUGCUAAGUUUGUAGAAACAUUUUCACUAAAUGGUUCAUGCGAUGUUGAGUUAGAUGAUCUUUUUUUCUGAAAUAAGAUUGCUGCAAAUGACUUUACCAGAAUCAGAUUUGCCAUUGCAUGCUAUGGAGAUUUUUGAGUUUGUUAGAGAUAUUGACUGUUUUCCAAAUGUUUUAGUUGCUUAUCGAAUUUUGUUCACUGUUCGAAUGACCGUAGCAUCAGCGGAGCGUAGCUUUUCCAAGUUGAAAUUGUUAAAGAACUACUUGAGGUCAACAAUGUCACAAGAAAGAUUAAAUGGUCUUGCUACUUUAUGUAUUGAGAAAGAUAAGUUGGAUGAAAUAAAUGUUGAUGCAAUAAUUGAUGACUUUGCUUCAAGAAGUGUUAGAAGAAUUUCCAAGUUCUAGUAUAGACGUGAAAUUCUCAGUUAGCUUUACUAUGCCUUGAGCAGGAAUGUUUGGAAGAAUUGAGUUACUAUGCUGUGAAGAAUUUUGGAAUGAAGAAGAGGGCCGAUUGGCGAGGAUCGAGAAACAAAUGUAAGUUCAUGCCUAACUUUUUAUUUGAUGGUAACACAAAAGAUUUAAGUAGCAACCAGUUUUGACAGGAAUUUUUAUUUUGCAGAAUAAAAUGACAGUCUCCAUUCAAAUUUAGGAAUGCAAGCUUUUGUGAAAAGAGAGCUUUUGUCGAACUUCAUCUCCUUACUAUCAUGAUGUAGUUCACUUGAUCGACAAAUAAAUUAUACUGUCAGUUUUAGAGUCCAAAUUAAAUCAUCAGACUGCGCUAUGUAUUGGAUAUUACUUUGGUUUUGAAAUAUAAAGUAUUUUGAGCUUUUUGAGUAAACAAGAACCCCUUAUUGUUGUCUUGCCCCAGGCCCGUAUAUCUAUGGCCCGGCCCUGAGCACGAACCGGUAGAUGGUGACGAAGAACUCGGACAGCUUACGUGGCGUCACAUGAUGUGGCCGGAACGCAACGGCCAGGUCCCGGAUGACAUGGCACAUCCGACCUGGCAACUGCCAACUGUCAAGGAUCCACAAGGCAUGCACUUUUUCUUGCCGGAUUCUAUACACAAUGCCAGCUUCAUUUUUUAUUCUUUUGAAAUGAGUAAUGCCAGCUUCAUGAGUCUUAGUAUUACUCCCUCCGUUCCAUAAUAUAAGUCUUUUUGGAGAUUCUACUAGAAGACUACGUACGGAUGUAUAUGGACAUAUUUUAGAGUAUAGAUUCACUCAUUUGCUCCGUAUAUAGUUCAUUAGUGAAAUCGCUUAAAAGACUUAUAUUUAGGAAUGGAGGGAGUAUUUCUCUUUCUAGUGAAAGCAAUGUUAUCGUGGUUGCAACCUGCGAAAGAAUAUCCCUCUUUUUUUUGCGUAUAAAAUGAACAUCCCUCUGACUCUAGCAUCACACAGUACGGAAAAUAUACCUUGGAACUUGGGUGUAGACGAACUUGUUACGGGAAAACAAUUUAGCAAGUGUGUGUGUGUGGGUGGGUGGGGGGGGGAUCAAAAUAUUUAGAAACUUCUUCGGAACAAACUUGACUACUGAUAUACUCUUACAGAAUUUUGCACUGACUGAAAAACUCCUGUCGACUUCAAGGAAAAGAAAUACUUUUUUGUGGGACAAAUAAGGUAAAUAGAACUCUUAUAUGCUACUUAUUUUGUUUCUUCUCGGCCACAAUACCAAGAAAAUCAUUUCUACGGAAAAAAUUGUACACGAGUGUAACUCUUGAUCAUGUUUAUUUCUACUAUUUUAAAGAAACUUUGACCUUUUUACAAUUACUGAAUUAGUUUUUCAGUUUGGGUUCAUCUACACCUACAGGUUCCAAACGUUCACCUCCCUCCUAGUACCAAGUACUCAUUCCACGCAAUCGGGGGCAUGAAUUUCUCAACUUUAUCAGAUUCAUGAACUUGCUGACCACUUGGCUUCGAUGCUCCAGUAAGGGCAUCUCCAAUACGGUCCCUUAAAGUGUUGGUAAAGGUCUGGACUAUAACACGUGAAAACAUUUCGCCACCCAACGGUGUCUCCUAAAUGUCCACGGACCGGUCUGCAUGUCCUUCUUUUUCAAAUCCAAAGCAAACUUGCUUGGCCCACUGACAUUUGGAUCACACGCCCUCGUAUCUCAUGUGUUUCAUGCUCUAGGUCGGUCUAGCACACCCCUACUAUUCAGAUUUGAUGUCUAUUUAAGGGGCAAGGUUCAUAGUUGGAUCAUGCAUCAUGUCCGCGGAAGCAUCCUACGCGAUCCAUGAACAAAUAUCGUCUCCAUUUUAAGGGUUGGGUCCGCGGUCUGCACUGAAGCUAGCCCUGACUGAGCUUAGAUCCAUGAAAGGAUGACCACAUGCAUUACAUUUUUUUUGCCACCAAUUAGCUCGCCCUAAUUGAUUUCAUUGAUUGAUUACUUGAGCAAUGCCGUCACACCGUCAAAAAUAUCAAUAAUCAAGUAUUACUUUCAAUAGGCACCCUACCUAAACUUAGUUUAAGGUCACCGAGGCAGACCAACAACAUCUAAGAGAACUACCAGAAAAGAUGAGUCAUCUAGCUAAGUAGCUAAAGAAUGCAACGAUAUCCACCUAGUGACUUUAAUUUGUCUAAGCAUGCAUCUCCUUCACAACACAGUUUCUCGUCCUCUCUAAUCAUGUACGGGGUGCUUCACAACAACAAAUACAUUGUAACUCUUAGUUUUUACUAUCUAUAUAUAUUCUCUUGAUCUACUGAAGAUUGACCUCAUGCAUAAAAUGUGUGAAAUCACUAGUAGAAAACAGGGCUAUCGUUUGGCCAUGGCCAACCCAUUAGUCCCGGUUCUUCACGAACCGGGACCCACGGGGGGCAAUAGUCCCGGUUCAUUAGCCCAGGGGCCGGCUGGGGCCUCGUGGGCAUAGGUCCCGGUUCGUGUGGACCCAUUUGUCCCGGUUCGUGUGGACCCAUUUGUCCCUGUUCUAGGCACGAACCGGGACCAAUGGGCCGCGCUCCUGGCCCACAUCCAUUGGUACCGGUUCAUGCCUUGAACCGGUUUAGAAGGGGGGACUUUAGCCCCAGUUUAUGCCACGAACAAAUGUAAUUCUAUCAUUUGUGUGUUGUGUUUCUAUCAUUUGUGUUAUGUUUCUGCUAGUGUGUUGUGUCCUAGAUGUAAUUCUAUCAUUUGUGCACUGUUGUGAACUUGAACAAAUGUAAAGUUGUGCCCUAGAUGUAAUGGAUAUCAUGUGGUGUGUUAAAAUUGUCACCACUACCAACUUGGAACCUUUUCACAGUUCAUUUCAAAUGNNNNNNNNNNNNNNNNNNNNNNNNNNNNNNNNNNNNNNNNNNNNNNNNNNNNNNNNNNNNNNNNNNNNNNNNNNNNNNNNNNNNNNNNNNNNNNNNNNNNNNNNNNNNNNNNNNNNNNNNNNNNNNNNNNNNNNNNNNNNNNNNNNNNNNNNNNNNNNNNNNNNNNNNNNNNNNNNNNNNNNNNNNNNNNNNNNNNNNNNNNNNNNNNNNNNNNNNNNNNNNNNNNNNNNNNNNNNNNNNNNNNNNNNNNNNNNNNNNNNNNNNNNNNNNNNNNNNNNNNNNNNNNNNNNNNNNNNNNNNNNNNNNNNNNNNNNNNNNNNNNNNNNNNNNNNNNNNNNNNNNNNNNNNNNNNNNNNNNNNNNNNNNNNNNNNNNNNNNNNNNNNNNNNNNNNNNNNNNNNNNNNNNNNNNNNNNNNNNNNNNNNNNNNNNNNNNNNNNNNNNNNNNNNNNNNNNNNNNNNNNNNNNNNNNNNNNNNNNNNNNNNNNNNNNNNNNNNNNNNNNNNNNNNNNNNNNNNNNNNNNNNNNNNNNNNNNNNNNNNNNNNNNNNNNACGAGUAAAGAGACUUGCGAGUAAACGAGAUUGAAAUAGGUAUGCGGAUACUGACGAUCGAAUCUCGGGCAAGUAACAUACCGAAGGACAAAGGGAAUGACAUACGAGAUUAUAUGAAUCCUUGGCACUGAGGUUCAAACGAUAAGAUCUUCGUAGAAUAUGUAGGAUCCAAUAUGGGCAUCCAGGUCCCGCUAUUAGAUAUUGACCGAGGAGUCUCUCGGGUCAUGUCUACAUAGUUCUCGAACCCGUAGGGUCUGCACACUUAAGNNNNNNNNNNNNNNNNNNNNNNNNNNNNNNNNNNNNNNNNNNNNNNNNNNNNNNNNNNNNNNNNNNNNNNNNNNNNNNNNNNNNNNNNNNNNNNNNNNNNNNNNNNNNNNNNNNNNNNNNNNNNNNNNNNNNNNNNNNNNNNNNNNNNNNNNNNNNNNNNNNNNNNNNNNNNNNNNNNNNNNNNNNNNNNNNNNNNNNNNNNNNNNNNNNNNNNNNNNNNNNNNNNNNNNNNNNNNNNNNNNNNNNNNNNNNNNNNNNNNNNNNNNNNNNNNNNNNNNNNNNNNNNNNNNNNNNNNNNNNNNNNNNNNNNNNNNNNNNNNNNNNNNNNNNNNNNNNNNNNNNNNNNNNNNNNNNNNNNNNNNNNNNNNNNNNNNNNNNNNNNNNNNNNNNNNNNNNNNNNNNNNNNNNNNUCGGAGUUACCGGGAAUGUACCGGGAAUGACGAAUGGGUUCCGUGUGUUCACCGGGGGGGUGGGGGCAACCCACCCCGGGGAAGCCCAUAUGCCUUGGGGGUGGCACACCAGCACUUAGUGGGCUGGUGGGACAGCCCAAGAAGGCCCUAUGCGCCAUAAGAAUAAAAUCAAAGAGAAAAGAAAAAAAAAGGAGGAGGUGGGAAAGGGAAGAAGGACUCCACCCACCAAACCAAGUUGGACUCGGUUUGGGGGGGCGGAGGAGACCUUCCCCCCUUGGCUGGGCCGAACCCCUUGGGGGUCCUUGAGCCCCAAGGCAAGGCUCCCCCUCUUCCCCCUAUAUAUACGGAGGUUUUAGGGCUGAUUUGAGACGACUUUUCCACGGCAGCCCGACCACAUACCUCCACGGUUUUUCCUCUAGAUCGCGUUUCUGCGGAGCUCGGGCGGAGCCCUGCUGAGACAAGAUCAUCACCAACCUCUGGAGCGCCGUCACGCUGCCGGAGAACUCAUCUACCUCUCCAUCUCUCUUGCUGGAUCAAGAAGGCCGAGAUCAUCGUCGAGCUGUACGUGUGCUGAACGCGGAGGUGCCGUCCGUUCGGCACUAGAUCGUGGGACUGAUCGCGGGACGGUUCGCGGGGCGGAUCGAGGGACGUGAGGACGUUCCACUACAUCAACCGCGUUCACUAAUGCUUCUUCUAUGCGGUCUACAAGGGUACGUAGAUCGAAUAUCCCCUCUCGUAGAUGGACAUCACCAUGAUAGGUCUUCGUGCGCGUAGGAAAUUUUUUGUUUCCCAUGCACGUUCCCCAACAGUGGCAUCAUGAGCUAGGUUCAUGCGUAGAUGUCUUCUCGAGUAGAACACAAAAGUUUUUGUGGGCGGUGAUGUGCGUUUUGCUGCCCUCCUUAGUCUUUUAUUGAUUCCGCGGUAUUGUUGGAUUGAAGCGGCUUGGACCGACAUUACUCGUACGCUUACGAGAGACUGGUUUCAUCGCUAAGAGUAACCCCGUUGCUCAAAGAUGAGUGGCAAGUGUCAGUUUCUCCAACUUUAGUUGAAUCGGAUUUGACCGAGGAGGUCCUUGUAUAAGGUUAAAUAGCAAUUCAUAUAUCUCCGUUGUGGUGUUUGCGUAAGUAAGAUGCGAUCCUACUAGAUACCCAUUGUCACCACGUAAAACAUGCAACAACAAAAUUAGAGGACGUCUAACUUGUUUUUGCAGGGUAUGCUUGUGAUGUGAUAUGGCCAACGAUGUGAUGUGAUAUAUUGGAUGUAUGAGAUGAUCAUGUUGUAAUGGAUAAUAUCGACUUGCACGUCGAUGGUACGGCAACCGGCAGGAGCCAUAGGGUUGUCUUUAAACUAACGUUUGUGCUUGCAGAUGUGUUUACUAUUUUGCUAGGAUGUAGCUUUAGUAGUAAUAGCAUGAGUAGCACGACAACCCCGAUGGCGACACAUUGAUGGAGAUCAUGGUGUGGCGCCGGUGACAAGAAGAUCGUGCCGGUUCUUUGGUGAUGGAGAUCAAGGAGCACGUGAUGAUGGCCAUAUCAUGUCACUUAUGAAUUGCAUGUGAUGUUAAUCCUUUUAUGCACCUUAUUUUGGUUAGAACGACGGUAGCAUUAUAAGGUGAUCUCUCACUAAAAUUUCAAGACGAAAUUGUGUUCUCCCCGACUGUGCACCGUUGCUACAGUUCGUCGUUUCGAGACACCACGUGAUGAUCUGGUGUGAUAGACUCAACGUUAACAUACAACGGGUGCAAAACAGUUGCACACGCGGAACACUCGGGUUAAGCUUGACGAGCCUAGCAUGUGCAGACAUGGCCUCGGAACACAUGAGACCGAAAGGUCGAUCAUGAAUCAUAUAGAUGAUAUGAUUAGCAUAGGGAUGCUUACCACUGAAACUAUACUCAACUCACGUGAUGAUCGGACUUGAGCUAGUGUAAGUGGAUCAUGAACCACUCAAAUGACUAGAGAGAUGUACUUCUUGAGUGGGAGUUUAGCGAGUAAUUUGAUUAAGUUAAACUCUAAUUAUCUUGAACAUAGUCUAAGUCCACUUUGAAUAUAUUUGUGUUGUAGAUCAUGGCUCACGCGACAGUCACCCUGAAUUUUAAUACGUUCCUAGAGAAAGCUAAGUUGAAAGAUGAUGGAAGCAACUUUGUAGACUGGGCUCGUAAUCUUAAGCUAAUCUUACAAGCUGUGAAGAAGGAUUAUGUCUUUAAUGCUGCGCUAGGAGAUGAACCACCCGCUACGGCUGACCAGGAUGUUAAGAAUGCUUGGUUAACACGUAAGGAGGACUACUCAGUAGUUCAAUGUGCAGUCUUGUAUGGCUUAGAACCAGGACUUCAACGUCGCUUUGAGCAUCAUGGAGCAUUUGAGAUGUUCCAGGAGUUGAAGUUCAUCUUUCAGAAGAACGCCCGGGUCGGGAGGUAUGAGACCUCCGAUAAAUUCUAUGCUUGCAAGAUGGAGGAGAACUCGUCUGUCAGUGAACAUGUGCUCAAAAUAUCUGGGUACUCAAACCGUCUAGCUGAGCUGGGGAUUGAACUCCUUCAAGAGGCUAUCACCGACAGAAUCCUUCAAUCACUGCCGCCAAGCUAUAAAGGCUUUUGUCACAUCCCUGACACCUUAAGCAAGUUAGUCUUGUGCUCAUGUCUUCUUUGCAUUUGCAUCUAAGAAUUUUCAACAAGAUCGAAGAACGAGGUGAAGGAAAACCCAAAACCCUAGCCACUACUUUAAAUAAAGGAAAUCUCAAACUAGUUAAAAUCAAUGAACCCAAAAUGGCCUCAAGAAAUGUUCAAACUUUCUGAUAAAUCAUGAAAGUAAAUGAGCAUUGGAGAAAACUAUUUUCUUGACACUUUAAGCAUUUUAAAUAAAUGCAAAAGCUACUGGUUUCAAGUUUUAAAUUUGAAAUCAGAAACUUUAAAUUUUCAAAAAUGUUGAAAACUUUGGAAAUAGUUGGAAAUAUUCCAACAAAUAUUCAGGUGUGUUUAAAAUAGUUUUACAACCCAUUUUGGAGCUGAAAUAAAUAGCAAAACAAUAGUUAGCAAAACAGAAACAAAAUAGAAAAGAAAUAAGAGAAAGAAAACCCUUACCUGUCGCCUGAGGAGGCCCAGCCCACCAGGGGCACGGCUGUCUUCUUCCUCCUGCCAGGAGGAGAAGCAGCUGUGUGCCGACGCGCCGGCGAGCGCAGCCACGUCCCCUGGCCACCUCCUGCUUGCCCGAGCCACGCAGACGGCGGGGAUGAGUACCCCGUGCACGUCUCUCCCUUCUCCACCCAUCUCUGGCUCCCCUCCAUCUCUCUCUCGCCCUCUCCCACCAUGGCCGAGCCUGCUUGUCGCCGCCGAUCGUCGUAGCCGUGGCCACGAGCCCCCUCCAGCCCAGCUGCUGUGCCCCAAAGCCCCGCCGUGCUCCUCCUCGUCCCCUGGAAGAAGGAAUCAAGCCCGGAGGCCCCCUGUCAUCGCCUCGCCGCCACCUUCUCCACCUCCGGCCGCCGGACCUCUUCCGUCGAUUCGCUCCCUCCGGCGCACCCCCGAGCCCUACAACAACACCAUCGGAACCGCCGUGAGCUCGUCAUCAUUUCCCCUCUCACCCCAUGCUCUUCCGUGCACCGUAGCCCCGUUCCCCACCAAGGCCGAGAGCUCCUCGCCGCCGGUCAUGUCGUCGCCGUCGCUGUGGUGUCUGUUCCACGCGCUCGAGCUAGGGAUCGAGCUCCUGGAGCCGCCAGGAAUGUGAUGAGCCCAUCAGCUGUCCUCCCCGUGCCCUGGAGCCAUCACCCGCGGAAGGCCAAGCUUCGGCCGCCGCUUCGGCUCGUCGCCUCUCCCGGCGACCGUAGCUUCUCUUGACGCCCCUGCCAGACCGGCUGCUUCGCCAGCGUCCCGUAGCUGCAAGCCGCGCUCGAUUUGGUGCCGUGUAGCACCGUUUAGGUCGUCUCCGGCGAGCCCUCCGCCGCAGGCUUGGUCGCCGGCGACCACCCUCCGGUGGGCGUCGACGUGGCCGACCAUUAGGGCGUAAUUGUCCUUCCCCCAGUCACUGCCAGAGGGCCCCACGCCUGGUCAAACCCCAAUUAGGGGCUGGUCAGCGCGGGGUUAGCCCCUGGGUCACUGACCAGUGGACCCCACUGGUCAGGUUUGACCUGGCCCAGGCGCAGUUGACCUGCUGACGUCAGUAGUGAUGCAAUAUUAGUAUUUCUGUUUAUAAAAUAAAUCCAGGAAAUUGCUAAAACUUGUAAAAAUCAUAGAAAUUAAUCUGUAACUCCAAUGAAAAUAAUUUAUAUAUGAAAAAGCAUCAGAAAAAUUCAAGGAAUCUGAAUAUGCUAUUUUCAAUCAUGUUUGAAAAAGUUACAGAACCCAAACAUGUAGAUUAAUGAAUAAGUCAAUUCUUAUAACUACUUUAUAAAUGGAAUUUGGAAAAUAUUCAAAUUUCAUUAUGAAUGACAUGAUCACACACUAUCCUAAUUACAAAUCAGUACCCUAACAUGACAUCUCAUGCAUGUUAACAUCAAGUUGAUCUGAGCAUCAGGUCGAAUCAAUUAAAUCGGUAUUCGAGAAUACCUCGUUUGAAUUGAUAUUUGAAUGUGAUUCAAAUCAACUUCAAACCUAAUACAUGUUGAUUAUAUUAGUUUAUCACCUUGCAUUCUCAUGCCAUGCUCAUGCAUCAUCUUGCUUGCAUAUGAUUGUUAUUGAUUGUUGCCAUUCAUUUCGGUAGGCUGCGCACCCCCGGAUUCCACCGAAUAUCCGUCUGACGGAUAUUGUCCCUCCUCUGAGCAACAAGGCAAGCAACCCUUUUGAUAUCCCGAUAACUCCCAUGUUCUUGCUCCUGCACUUAUUUAUUACAUUAGGAUCAAAUGCUUCAACUGCUUUUGCCACGUUAGUUGAAGCCACUUCCUUUGCAUGACCUAACCUUGUCACAGUAAAUAGCCGAACCUUGCAACCUAGCAUACCUGGUAGUUGCUUGAGCUAUGAUGUGCCUUAUCCUGCUAUGCAUGCUAUGCUUAGAGUUGUGUAUGGUCUGUCAUCUGGGAGAUGAACAGAAUUGUGAGAAUGUGUUCGGUAAGCAAAGGUUGUGUGUUGAAUCUGAUUUGGUAAAGGUACCGGUGAAAGGCUGUGUAGGAGUACAUGGCGGGUUGUUUCAUUGGAACCGUCCUUAGGAACUGAGUUCCGUGUAUGUAAUCCAAGACUAGAUACUACCACAUGCUGGGCCCUGAAAUAUGACCCCGCUCGACUUAUUAAUCGCUUAGUACUCGGUCCAGGAGUUGCAAGUAGUUUCUGGUGUUUAUAGCAAUGCUGGAGGCCGUGCAUGGUGCUGACCUGAGAGGUGGACCGUGAUGCGGUAGGCAGUGGCACGGUGUAACAAGUGGCACCCGGAUGGUGGGCUUGGGAACCCUGCGCACAUCGUUUGAGGCCGUGGCGGAAACCUCGGCCGGACUUCCGUACGGGUUACUCUCAGAUAGGCGAUAAACCUGGACUAGGUACUAGUGUGGUUAACGGUCGUGGCCGACUCCCUCGCUGGGCUUCCGCUUGAAGAUUGCCGAGGUGCAUGACGUGCACAUGGCGAUAAGUGGCGAGAGUGUUUGUGACGAAGUACACCCCUGCAGGGUUAUGAUCUAUUCGAAUAGCCGCGUCCGCGGAUAUGGACUACUUGGAGACAUAUGUUGUUCAUAGAUAAUUUCAAUGGCUACUCAUAAAAUUGUCAAGAUAAGCGUGAGUGUCGUGGACGGCAUUUCCGUAUGGAGACGGAAUGAUUCCACGAUAGUGUAUUGUUGUGGUGUUAGUGGACUCGUGUGCGAGAAAUCAAGUUGUCAAAUUUUUUCAAAAAUGCAAGUUGUCUAGCCACGAGUCAAAUGCUGGCUUUCCGCAUGAAACCCCACAAUACCCUUUUGAUACCUUGCAUAAGUAGUUAGUUAUCCUAAAGUCUUGCUGAGUACCUUCGUACUCAUGUUUGCUUAAUAAAUGUUGCAGAGGUUGCUAAUGACCCUAAUGGAGGGUUCUUCGUAGACAUCGACGACGACGAGUAGCUGGUGUCCCAGCUACGAUCUGGCCCUACGUUGGAUCUGUAGUAUAGUCAGGCCAUGUGCCUUCUAGUUGCCCUGUCUGUACUCAGACAGUUUAAACUCUUCCGUUGGCUUGUAAUUGAAUGACUGCUAUUAUGGGUUGUGAGACCCUUAAUGUGUAAUAUUGUGUGUUAGGCUCUUCCGAGCCUCUUAAAUAAAGCUUGUAUGUUUAUGGUUAUGUUGUGAUGCCCUCGAUGUAUCUAUACAUAUCGGUAUGCCAUUCGUACGUGUGUCGUACUUGAUAUGUAUGGGGUUUGAUUACCUAGUCGUGAACUUUAGUAGCCUUCCUUACAAGGAAAUGUCCCUUUGUGAUCCAACGAACCUUGGUAGCUCGCUACUGCUCCGGACACAUUGGUUGACCGGCAUGUGUCCUUCUUAGCUGCUGUGUCUGUCCUCUUUGGGGAAAUGUCACGCGAUGUAAUGGAGUCCUUGUAGCUUGUUACGACUCGUCUACACUCGCUGAUGACCGACACCUGCUUUGUUGGGUCAUGUAUGCCUGUCCUUGCGCGGUACCGCCACUUUGGUUUAUGACUAGACAUGUCGAUCCGGGUUCUUUGACAUUGGAAUGCUAGCGACACUAUUGCAUACGUGAGUCAAAAGACGCAAACGGUCCCGGCUAAGGUAAGGCUGCAGCCGAGGAGUUAACCGUGCGUGAGACCGCAAAGGGAUGCGAUGUGUUACAGGCUAGUUCCUAUGGCUUAGGAUCGGGGUCCCGAUAGCUUUGUGUUGAACUACAACAUGCAAGGGAUGAACAAGUCACCCGGCAAGUUGUUUGCGAUGCUGAAAGCCGCAUAGUCUGAACUCCGUAAAGAGCAUCAAGUGUUGAUGGUGAAUAAGACCACUAGUUUCAAGAGAAACGGCAAAGGCAAGAAGGGUAAUUCAAAGAAGAGCGGCAAGCCUGUUGCCAAUCCGACGAAGAAACCCAAAGCUGGACCUAAGCCUGAAACAGAGUGUUACUAUUGCAAGGGUAUGGGUCACUAGAAGCGCAACUGCCCCAAGUAUCUGGCUGAUAAGAAGGCGGCCAAAGAAAAAUCAGGUAUAUUUGAUAUACAUGUUAUUGAUGUGUACUUAACCGGUUCUCGUAGUAGUGCCUGGGUAUUCGAUACCGGUUCUGUUGCUCAUAUUUGCAACUCGAAACAGGAACUGCGGAAUAGACGAAGGCUGGCGAAAGAUGAAGUGACGAUGCGCGUAGGAAAUGGUUCCAAGGUUGAUGCAAUCGCCGUCGGCACAGUUUCACUUCAGUUACCAUCAGGAUUAGUUAUGAACUUGAAUCAUUGUUAUUUAGUGCCUGCGUUGAGCAUGAACAUUAUAUCUGGAUCUUGUUUAUUGCGAGACGGUUACUCUUUUAAGUCAGAGAAUAAUGGUUGUUCUAUUUCUAUGAGUAACAUCUUUUAUGGUCAUGCACCCAAUGUGAGAGGAUUGUUCAUAUUGAAUCUUGAUAGUGAUACACACAUACAUAACAUUGAGACCAAAAGAAUUAGAGUUAACAAUGAUAGGGCCAUAUUUUUGUGGCACUGCCGCUUAGGUCAUAUUGGUGUAAAGCGCAUGAAGAAACUCCAUGCCGAUGGAUUUUUGGAGUCACUUGACUUUGAUUCACUUGACACGUGCGAACCAUGCCUCAUGGGCAAGAUGACUAAAACUCCGUUCUCCGGAACAAUGGAGCGUGCAAGUGACUUGUUGGAAAUCAUACAUACCGAUGUGUGCGGUCCGAUGAGCGUAGAGGCACGCGGCGAAUAUCGUUAUUUUCUCACCUUCACUGACGAUUUGAGUAGAUAUGGUUAUGUCUACUUAAUGAAGCACAAGUCUGAAACAUUUGAAAAGUUCAAGCAAUUUUAGAGUGAAGUUGAAAAUCAUCGUAACAAGAAGAUCAAGUUCCUACGGUCUGAUCGUGGGGGUGAAUAUCUGAGUUUCGAGUUUGGUGCUCACUUAAGACAAUGUGGAAUUGUUUCACAGUUGACACCGCCUGGAACACCACAGCGUAAUGGUGUGUCCGAACGUCGUAAUUGUACUUUAUUAGAGACGGUGCGAUCUAUGAUGUCUCUUACCGAUUUGCCGUUAUCGUUUUGGGGUUAUGCAUUAGAAACAACUGCAUUCACUUUAAAUAGGGUACCAUCAAAAUCCGUUGAGACGACACCAUACGAACUGUGGUAUGGCAAAAGGCCAAAGUUGUCGUUUCUUAAAGUUUGGCGAUGUGAUGCUUAUGUCAAAAAGCUUCAGUCUGAAAAGCUGGAACCCAAAGCGGAAAAGUGCAUCUUCAUAGGUUACCCAAAAGAGACAGUUGGGUACACCUUCUAUCUCAAAUCCGAGGGCAAAGUGUUUGUUGCUAAAAAUUGAGCUUUUCUCGAGAAGGAGUUUCUCUCGAGAGAAUUGAGUGGGAGGAAGAUAGAACUUGAUGAGGUUGUCGAACCUCUCAUCCCUCUAGAUGGUGGCGCAGGGCAAGGGGAAACCUCUGUCAUUGCGACGCCGGUUGAGGAGGAAGUUAAUGAUGAUGAUCAUGAAAUUCCGGUUCAAGUUCGUGUCGAACCACGCAGGUCGACGAGACCACGUGCUGCUCCAGAGUGGUAUGGUAAUCCCGUCAUGUCAAUCAUGUUGUUAGACAACAAUGAACCUCCAAAUUAUGAAGAAGCAAUGGUGGGCCCAGAUUCCAACAAAUGGCUAGAGGCCAUGAAGUCCGAGAUAGGAUCCAUGUAUGAGAACAAAGUAUGGACUUUGGAAGUACUACCUGAGGGCCGCAAGGCUAUUCAGAACAAAUGGAUCUUUAAGAAGAAGACGGACGCUGACGGCAAUGUGACCGUUUAUAAAGCUCGACUUGUGGCAAAGGGUUUUUCACAAGUUCAAGGAGUUGACUACGAUGAGACAUUCUCACCUGUAGCGAUGCUUAAGUCCGUCAGAAUAAUGUUAGCAAUAGCUGCAUUUUUCGAUUAUGAAAUCUGGCAGAUGGAUGUCAAAACGACGUUCCUUAACGGUUUCCUUAAGGAAGAGUUGUAUAUGAUGCAACCCGAAGGUUUUGUCGAUCCUAAGAAUGCUAACAAGGUGUGCAAGCUCCAGCGAUCCAUUUAUGGGCUGGUGCAAGCAUCUCGGAGUUGGAACAAACGCUUUGAUGAGGUGAUCAAAGCAUUUGGGUUUAUACAAGUGGUUGGAGAAUCUUGUAUUUACAAGAAAGUGAGUGGGAGCUCUGUGGCGUUUCUAAUAUUAUAUGUGGAUGACAUAUUGCUGAUUGGAAACAACGUAGAGUUUUUGGAGAGCAUAAAGGAUUACUUGAACAAAAGUUUCUCUAUGAAGGACCUAGGAGAAGUUGCUUACAUUCUAGGCAUUAAGAUCUACAGGGAUAGAUCGAAACGCCUGAUAGGACUUUCACAAAGCACAUACCUUGAUAAAGUUUUGAAGAGGUUCAAAAUGAAACAGUCCAAGAAAGGGUUCUUGCCAGUUUUACAAGGUACGAGAUUGAGUAAGACUCAGUGACCAGCAACUGAUGUGGAUAGAGAGCAUAUGAGCACCGUCCCCUAUGCUUCAGCCAUAGGUUCUAUCAUGUAUGCAAUGUUGUGCACUAGACCGGAUGUUAGCUUGGCCAUAAGUAUGACAGGCAGGUUCCAGAGUAAUCCAGGAGUGAAUCACUGGACGGCGGUCAAGAAUAUCCUGAAGUACCUGAAAAGGACUAAGGAGAUGUUUCUCGUGUAUGGAGGUGACGAAGAGCUCGCCGUAAAGGGUUACGUCGAUGCAAGCUUUGACACAGAUCUGGACGACUCUAAGUCGCAGACCAGAUACGUAUUUAUUCUUAAUGGGGGUGCGGUAAGCUGGUGCAGUUCCAAGUAAAGCGUCGUAGCAGAUUCUACAUCUGAAGCGGAGUACAUGGCUGCCUCGGAGGCGGCUAAGGAGGGUGUCUAGAUGAAGCAGUUCAUGACGGAUCUUGGAGUAGUGCCAAGCGCACUGAAUCCAAUAACGUUGUUCUGUGACAACACGGGUGCCAUUGCCCUAGCAAAGGAACCACGGUUUCACAAGAAGUCCAGACACAUCAAACGACGCUUCAACCUCAUCCGCGACUACGUCGAAGGGGAGGACGUAAAUAUAUGCAAAGUGCACACGAAUCUGAAUGUAGCAGACCCGCUGACUAAACCUCUUCCACGGGCAAAGCAUGAUCAACACCAAAACUGUAUGGGUGUUAGAUUUAUUACAAUGUAAUUCACAUGAUGAUGUGAGGGCUAGAUUAUUGACUCUAGUGCAAGUGGGAGACUGUUGGAAUUAUGCCCUAGAGGCAAUAAUACAUAUAGUUAUUAUUAUAAUUCCUAUAUCAAGAUAAUCGUUAAUUAUCCAUGCUAUAAUUGUAUUGAAUGAAGACUUAUAUACAUGUGUGGAUACAUAGACAAAACACUGUCCCUAGCAAGCCUCUAGUUGGCUAGCCAGUUGAUCAAAGAUAGUCAGGGUCUUCUGAUUAUGAACAAGGUGUUGUUGCUUGAUAAUUGGAUCACGUCAUUAGGAGAAUCACGUGAUGGACUAGACCCAAACUAAUAGACGUAGCAUAUUGAUCGUGUCACUUUGUUGCUACUAUUUUCUGCGUGUCAAGUAUUUGUUCCUAUGACCAGGAGAUCAUAUAACUCACUGACACCGGAGGAAUGCUUUAUGUGUAUCAAACAUCGCAAUGUAACUGGGUGACUAUAAAGAUGCUCUACAGGUAUCUCCGAAGGUGUUCGUUCAGUUAGUAUGGAUCGACACUGGGAUUUGUCACUCCGUGUGACGGAGAGGUAUCUCGGGGCCCACUCGGUAAUACAACAUCACACACAAGCCUUGCAAGCAAUGUGACUUAGUGUAAGUUGCGGGAUCUUGUAUUACGGAACGAGUAAAGAGACUUGCCGUUAACGAGAUUGAAAUAGGUAUGCGGAUAUUGACGAUCGAAUCUCGGGCAAGUAACAUACCGAAGGAAAAGGGAGUGACACACGGGAUUAUAUGAAUCCUUGGCACUGAGGUUCAAACGAUAAGAUCUUCGUAGAAUAUGUAGGAUCUAAUAUGGGCAUCCAGGUCCCGCUAUUGGAUAUUGACCGAGGAGUCUCUCGGGUCAUGUCUACAUAGUUCUCGAACCCGCAGGGUCUGCACACUUAAGGUUCGACGUUGUUUUAUGUGUAUUUGAGUUAUAUGGUUGGUUACCGAAUGUUGUUCGGAGUCCCGGAUGAGAUCACGGACGUCACGAGGGUUUCCGGAAUGGUCCGGAAACGAAGAUUGAUAUAUAGGAUGACCUCAUUUGAUUACCGGAAGGUUUUCGGAGUUACCGGGAAUGACGAAUGGGUUCCGGGUGUUCACCCGGGGGGGGGGGGGCAACCCACCCCGGGGAAGCCCAUAGGCCUUAGGGGUGGCGCACCAGCCCUUAGUGGGCUGGUGGGACAUCCCAAGAAGGCCCUAUGCGCCAUAGGAAGAAAAUCAAAGAGAAAAGAAAAAAAAAGAGGAGGUGGGAAAAGGGGGAAGGACUCCUCCUUCCAAACCUAGUUGGACUCGGUUUGGAAGGGGAGGGUUGGCCCCCUUGGCUCGGCCGAACCCCUUGGGGGUCCUUGGACCCCAAGGCAAGGCUCCCCCUCUUCCCCCUAUAUAUACGGAGGUUUUAGGGCUGAUUUGAGACAACUUUGCCACGGCAGCCCGACCACAUAUCUCCACGGUUUUACCUCUAGAUCGCGUUUCUGCGGAGCUCGGGCGGAGCCCUGCUAAGAUAAGAUCAUCACCAACCUCCGGAGCGCCGUCAUGCUGCCGGAGAACUCAUCUACCUCUCCGUCUCUCUUGCUGGAUCAAGAAGGCCGAGAUCAUCGUCGAGCUGUACGUGUGCUGAACGCGGAGGUGCCGUCCGUUCGGCACUAGAUCGUGGGACUGAACGCGGGAUAGUUCGCGGGGCGGAUCGAGGGACGUGAGGACGUUCCACUACAUCAACCGCGUUCACUAACGCCUCUGUUGUGCGGUCUACAAGGGUACGUAGAUCGAAUAUCCCCUCUCGUAGAUGGACAUCACCAUGAUAGGUCUUCCUGCGCGUAGAUUUUUUUUGUUUCCCAUGCGAUGUUCCCCAACAGCUAUGUGGGUGAAAUGNNGAUACCAUGCCAACUUGAAACCUUUUCAGAGUUNNNNNNNNNNNNUUUUCAAUUUCAUGGUCUUAUAGAUCAAAAUAAUUAAUAAAUGCAUGAAAAAUNNNNNNNNNNNNNNNNNNNNNNNNNNNNNNNNNNNNNNNNNNNNNNNNNNNNNNNNNNNNNNNNNNNNNNNNNNNNNNNNNNNNNNNNNNNNNNNNNNNNACGGUUUCAUACGGAAACUCGUCUGUUAUAAAGGGAUUUCAUUUUNNNNNNNNNNNNUGAACUCCAUAGUUUUUCGGUGUUCAAAAUGCACCAUNNNNAGCCACAUCAUCAAUUUGAAACCCUUUCGGACUUCAUUUGUUAUUUUUUUGAUGCGUUUACAGAUUAUUUUGAGCUAUAAGACCAUGAAAUUGGAAAGCAUUUGAAAUGAACUCUGAAAAGGAUCCAAGUUGGCAUGGUAUNNNNNNNNNNNNNNNNNNNNNNNNNNNNNNNNNNNNNNNNNNNUACGGCAAAAACUGGAUGCANNNNNNNNNNNNNNNNNNNNNNNNNNNNNNNNNNNNNNNNNNNNNNNNNNNNNNNNNNNNNNNNNNNNNNNNNNNNNNNNNNNNNNNNNNNNNNNNNNNNNNNNNNNNNNNNNNNNNNNNNNNNNNNNNNNNNNNNNNNNNNNNNNNNNNNNNNNNNNNNNNNNNNNNNNNNNNNNNNNNNNNNNNNNNNNNNNNNNNNNNNNNNNNNNNNNNNNNNNNNNNNNNNNNNNNNNNNNNNNNNNNNNNNNNNNNNNNNNNNNNNNNNNNNNNNNNNNNNNNNNNNNNNNNNNNNNNNNNNNNNNNNNNNNNNNNNNCUUUCGAAGUAUCAUGGUUUCAUACGGAAACUCGUCUGUUAUAAAGGGAUUUUAUUUUUUUGAACUUACUUGAAUUCCAUAGUUAUUCUAUGUUCAAAAUGCACCAUUCAAAACCACAUUAUAAAUUUACAACCCUUUGUGACUUCAUUUGUUUUUUUUUUAUGCAUUUACUGAUUAUUUCGAGCUAUAAGACCAUGAAAUUGGAAAGCAUUUGAAAUGAACUCUGAAAAUGUUCCAAGUUGGCAUGGUNNNNNNNNNNNNNNNNNNNNNNNNNNNNGAGAAAGUUGAGAGGGGUACGGCAAAAACUGCAUGCACUUCGUGUACAAANNNNNNNNNNNNNUUCGAAGUAUCAGGGUUUCAUACGGAAACUCGUCUCUUACUAAGGGAUUUCAUUUUUUUGAACUUAUUUGAACUGCAUAGUUUUUCUGUGUUCNNNNNNNNNNNNNNNNNNNNNNNNNNNNNNNNNNNNNNNNNNNNNNNNNNNNNNNNNNNNNNNNNNNNNNNNNNNNNNNNNNNNNNNNNNNNNNNNNNNNCUGUUCGUGCUCGCUUUUAAUAUUAGUUACCUUGCUGUUUUUGUAGUUUCAGAUUACAAAAACCUAUAUCUACCAUCCAUAUUGCACUUGUAUCACCAUCUCUUCGCCGAACUAGUGCACCUAUACAAUUUACCAUUGUAUUGGGUGUGUUGGGGACACAAGAGACUCUUUGUUAUUUGGUUGCAGGGUUGCUUGAGAGAGACCAUCUUCAUCCUACGCCUCCCGCAGAUUGAUAAACCUUAGGUCACCCACUUGAGGGAAAAUUGCUACUGUCCUACAAACCUCUGCACUUGGAGGCCCAACAACGUCUACAAGAAUAAGGUUGCGUAGUAGACAUGACACCUCACCUGCUUGCCUCCACUUGAAGCCGUCAAGAGUUCUUUCAAGUUGAUUGAAAGCAAAGGAAAAUAUGUGAUUGAUGAAGGAAAUCGGCCCCUUGAUGGCUAAUUUCACAAAGAUGCGUCAUACUCCACCAAUGACGACACUUCCUCACAAGACUCAGCUCCGAGAGGCAAAACCCCUACUCCAACUAUACCGCAUAUGAUGACUGACCGCUAGCUCUUGCUCAGUCUUCAUCAUAUGGUUGAUCGCAACCACAAAUACGUAAAUCAUCGGUUUGGUGCCACUGUGAAAUACCUCAAUGCAACUCGGAAUGCAGUGAAGAAAAUCACUAUUAUCUUCAUGAGAUCUUCGACCGCACAUGGGCCAUUCCGUCUCACCUCAAGACUUCCGAGGAACUCACUGAAAUGGAGUUCCAACAAGACUUCGAUUGGUCCUGGCCGCCAAAGAAUAAGUUCAAGAAGAUUCCAGUUCCUCAACUAGUGGCCAACGCAUUUUCCUCAAUGCGCACAACUGAUGACGUUGAAGACCUUGACGACACUGCUAUGGUGAACGACCCCAACGCUCCUGCUCCACCAACAAAGUGAUAUUCUUCAAGGGCGUUAGUCCUCAGUUUCAUAUCUUUUCGCCACUUGAUGACAAAGGGGGAGAAAUCUGAGUUAGUCUUCAAGCGGGUCUACUUUAUGGGCUUUUGAACAAUAUUUUCUUGAAGUUAAAACUCUCAUUCUUCUGAAGUGUUUGGUUGUAUGAGUUGUAAACUUAUGUCCAGUGGCGGUCUCACACUUUUGAACCGUUUUCUUUCAUGCUUAUUACUCAUGAUGAUUAAUGCAUGCAUGGUGAAAUUCGUCAGAGUCCACUCUCCAUCAUGCAUUUCAAUUUCCUCAAGCUAUAUGUCAAAUGCUUGCAUUGAUUACAAGAUAUAGGGGGAGAUCUUCAUGGUAUAAAUACUCAAUGUGCAUUUGCAGUCCAAAGAAAAUUCCUCAAAUACGCACAUCUUCACGGGGAGUCUCUCUAUAUCUUGCAUUCAAAUUUCUCAAACUGUGUACUUAUACUUUAUAUUAUUAUCCCCGUUGAAAACUCAACCUGUGUGUCAUCAAUCACCAAAAAGGGGAAGAUUAUGAGUGCAUCUAGUGCCACUUAGUGAUUUUGGUGUAUUGAAGACUUAUAGGUUAAGGGACUGGUAUGUUUGUGAGUGUACAUGGGCUCUAUAAGUCACUGAGGAUUUUGAGUUAUUCGAAGAAUAUCGACCCCUAAAAAUGUAUGUCUUUGGCUGAAGACUUUGGUAUUUCCUAUGAAGACUCUGGAAGUGAGGAAAUUGGUGUGUCCACGAAGAAAUCGAUUUGAAGACUCUAAAGCAUAAAAACUUUUAUUUUCAUAGUUUCAUUUUCGGCAUUCUCUCUCAUAGGACCACUGUGCUAUUAAAGGGGGUCGAGGUAAAACUAAGAAAAAGUUUCCAAGUGAUUCUCAUCUCAAAUCCUACACAUUCAAACCCUUCGGAUGAAGCCUUUGGAAAUCUUCAACAACUUAGACAAAUUCUUAAUGACACACACGAAGAUCUUCUAGUCUUUGAGGAAUUUGCUCUAACUCAGGAGUUAGGUCUUCGCCAGUGCGAAUCACCUAUCUGUUAGGACAUCAGUGACAUGAGGACUUUCAUAGCUGAAACAUUCCGACCGAGGUCGUGCUGUGCGUCGGCUGUCCCCAACCUUAUCCAUCUAACAGUCAUAUCAUUGGGGCAUUUAUGUCAAUUCAUGUCGGGAUUGAUCCCUGGCUAUAAAUAGCCGCCCCCAUAGCCACUAGUUGGUUCGUUGCUCCACGAGAGAAACUAGCACUUGUCAUUUGAGAGCAACCCACUCCUCGAAGACUUUGAGAGAAAAUCAUCAGUGAGGAAAAAACCCAAACACCCAAACCAAAACCCAAAACCCAAAGUGAUUGAGCACCGGGUUCUAAUUCCUCAACCCUUUCAUUUCCUCAAUUGUAUAUUGAUGACUUUGAUCUUUACUGUUUGAAGAAUUUGACUGAAUACUUUCGCAAAUUCCUCACCUCAAAUUCUUCACUAAAUUUAUUCAUCACCUGCUUAUCCUGAUCACGCUACCUGUGCCACCUAAACAUUUCAUUUUACUCCGACGACUAAGCUAUCGUUGGUUUUGCACAUAUGUUUGAGUACUUAUUCCGUUGCACUCAGUUCAUGAGUGAGGUCUUUCCUCACUAGGAAUUUCUUUAGUGAUGAAUUUGUAAAAAUCGACUAAUCACCCCCUCUAGUCGAUAUAACGCACUUUUACAGCUGAACGGAGGGAAUACUAUUAUAGCAUGACGGGUCGUCUUCGAGAUGACAAAACUUGAACAUAUGCACUAUGCCUAGCUAGGGGCAUAAAACGAUAGCGCUAGUUGGGAGGCAGCCCAAUAGUUAUCUUCCUAUUUUUGUUUUCACUUUCUGUUUGUGUGUGAUAACAUGAUUGUUGCCUGUGUAAUGGUUGUGUUUUUGUGUUAGCGUAUGUGCCAAGUAAAGUCUUCGGGAUGAUUUGGAUAAUGGUGUAACUAAUGCGGUGCAAAAAUUGAAAGUUAGCAUCUAGUGCAGAAUUGUUCUGAUUUUACUGGAAUAUCGCUUUGAUGUAUUGUUUUUACACAAUAUUUCUAUACAAAUUACCCAGGUCUUCCUAAUGUUUUAGAAUUUUUGGAGUUCUAGAAGUACGGUACUUAACUAUAUCAUUACAUGAUGUUCUCUUUUAGACAUAUUCUGUUCUUUGCUUGCAUAGUUUACUUGCUUUGAUGAUUAUAUAUAUAUUUUGCGGGGGGUACAAGUCAUGGAGAAGUUACAAUACAGAACUAAUGAAAUAAUAAAAUAUUAAUAAAUUCAUAAUAAUACCUAAAGUAUUUGAUAUGUUUAUUAUUACUAAUGGAUCUCACGAAGUUUGUGUAGAGUUUUGUGUGCUAAAGUUUUCAAGUUUUGGUUGUUAUCGCAAUGGACGAAGGAAUAAAGAGCGGCAAGAGCCUAAGCUUGGGAAUGCCCAAGGCACCCCAAGGUAAUAUUCUAGGAAGACUCAAGCGCCUUAGCUUGGGGAUGCCCUGGAAGGCAUUGAUACGUCUCAAACGUAUUUAUAAUUUUUGAUGGUUUCAUGCUGUUAUCUUGUCAACUUUGGAUGUUUUAUAUACCUUCUAUAUCUUUUUGGGACUAAUUUAUUAAUUCAGUGCCAAGUGCCAGUUCCUGUUUUUUCUGUGUUUUUGACUCUUUUCAGAUCUGAUUUUGGAACGGAGUCCAAACGGAAUAAAAUCCCCGAAAUAAAUUUUUCCAGAACAGAAGAAGAUCGGGGGACUUGAGGGCCAAGGCACGAGAGCCACAGGGGGCCCACAAGCCGUGUAGCCGCCACCAGGGGGGCGGCGCUACCAGGCUUGUGGCCCCCCUGGAGCUCCCCUGCCCUAGCUCUUUCGCCUAUAUAUUCCAUAAAAUCCCAGAAAAAAUCAGGGCAUCCACGAAAACACUUUUCCUCUGCCGCAAGCUUCCGUUUCCGUGAGAUCUCACCUGGAGACCCUUCCCGGUGCCCUGCCGGAGGGGACUUUGGAGUUGGAGGGCUUCUACAUCAGCAUCAUCGCCUCUCCAAUGGCUCGUGAGUAGUCCACUUCAGACCUACGGGUCCGUAGUUAGUAGCUAGAUGGCUUCUUCUCUCUCUUGGAUCUUCAAUACAAAGUUCUCCAUGAUCUACAUGGAGAUCUAUUCGAUGUUAUCCUUGUUGGCGGUGUGUUUGUCGAGAUCCGAUGAAUUGUGGAUUUGUGAUCAGAUUAUCUAUGAAUUAUAUUUGAGUCUUUGCUGAUUUCUUAUAUGCAUGAUUUGAUAUCCUUGUAAGUCUCUCCGAGUCUUGGGUUUUGUUUGGCCAACUAGAUCUAUGAUUCUCGCAAUGGGAGAAGUGCUUGGUUUUGGGUUCAUACCGUGUGGUGACCUUUCCCAGUGACAGAAGGGGCAGCAAGGCACGCAUCGUGUUGUUGCCAUCAAGGAUAACAGGACGGGCUUUCAUCAUAGAUUUGAGAUUGUCCAUCUACAUCAUGUCAUCUUGCUUAAGGUGUUACUCUGUUCUUAUGAACUUAAUACACUAGAUGCAUGCUGGAUAGCGGUGACAUGUGGAGUAAUAGUAGUAGAUGCAAAAAGUAUCAGUCUACUUGUUUUGGACGUGAUGCCUACAGAUAUAAUCAUUGCCAUAGAUGACGUCACGACUUUGCGCAGUUUUAUCAAUUUCUCGACAGUAAUUCGUUCACCCACCGUAUACUUGCUUUCAUGAGAGAAGCCACUAGUGAACACUACGGCCCCCGGGUCUAUUCACAACUAUCGUCUUCGCUUUCACUUUUACUUUGAUUUGUUUACUUUUUUCUUUCAGUUCUCACUUUGCAAACAAUCUAUAAGGGAUUGACAACCCCUUCAUAGCGUUGGGUGCAAGCUCUUUGUGUUUGUGCAGGUACUUGUGAGUUGACGCGAUCCUCCCACUGGAUCGAUACCUUGGUCCUCAAACUGAUGGAAAUACUAACCGCCGCUGUGCUACGUCACCCUUUCCUCUUCAAGGGAACACCAACGCAAGGCUCCAAGGCCGCGGGGAAAUCCUUUGCAUAUUUGCCAAGGAAAUCCCUAUAGGCGUAGCCCGUAGCAGCAGGAUUCCUGGCGCCGUUGCCAGGGAAGGUCUCUUGUCGCAGUAGCAGAAGGAUUUCUGGCGCUGUUGCCGGGGAGAGGAUCGCUUGCCGAGGAAGAUCAAGACAAGAAUAAUCUCCCCCACUUCACAUUUGCCAUUUUCAUUUUCCUUUCUGGCGCCGUUGCCGGGGAAGAGAGAUCAAGUCAAGAUCUAUCCAAGUAGGUGUCACAAACUCAUCUCUUGCAUUUACCUUUUUUGCCAGUUGCCUCUCGUUUUCCUCUCCCCCACUUCACAUUUGCCAUUUUCAUUUUCCUUUCUCCCUUGCCGUUUUCAUUUGCCUUUUUUGUCGUUUUCCUUUGCAUGUUUUCUUGCUUACUUGUGCUCUUGUUGGUUUGUUGAAGUCAUCAUGGCUGAAAACACCAAACUUUGUGACUUUUCGAGUACUAAUAAUAAUGAUUUUAUUAGUACUCCGAUUGCUCCCGCCACUAGUGUCGAAUCGUAUGAAAUCAACGCUGCCUUGUUGAAUCUUGUUAUGAAAGAGCAAUUCUCUGGCCUUCCUAGUGAAGAUGCCGCAUCCCAUCUCAAUACCUUCAUUGAGCUUUGAUAUAUGCAAAACAAAAGAGAUGUGGAUAAUGAUGUUGUUAAGUUGAAGCUUUUUCCUUUCUCGUUGCGAGAUCGUGCGAAAACUUGGUUUUCUUCUUUGCCUAAAAAUAGUAUCGAUUCUUGGGAUAAGUGCAAAGAUGCUUACAUAUCCAAGUAUUUUCCGCCGGCUAAGAUUAUCUCUCUACGUAACGAUAUCAUGAAUUUCAAGCAACUUGAUCAUGAACAUGUUGCACAAUCUUGGGAGAGGAUGAAGUUAAUGAUUAGAAAUUGUCCCGCUCAUGGCUUGAGUUUGUGGAUGAUUAUACAAAUCUUUUACGUUGGUUUGAAUUUUGCUUCUCGCAAUAUCUUGGACUCCGCCUCAGGUGGAACGUUCAUGGAAAUCACGUUAGGAGACGCUACAAAACUCCUAGACAAUAUCAUGACCAACUACUCUCAGUGGCACACUGAAAGGUCACCUGCUAGCAAAAAGGUACACGCUAUAGAAGAAAUUAACUCGCUUAGUGCUAAGAUGGACGAGUUGAUGAAUUUGGUUGCUAGUAUAAAUGCUCCUUUAGAUCCUAAUGACAUGCCACUAUCUUCCUUGAUUGAGAGUAGCAACGCUAGUUUGGACGUUAAUUUUGUUGGUAGGAACAAUUUUGGCAACAAUAAUGCUUUUAGAGGAAACUAUGUUCCUAGGCCUUUUCCUAGUAACUCCUCUAACAAUUAUGGCAAUUCCUACAACAACACUUAUGGAAAUCAUAAAAAAUUACCCUCUGAUUUAGAUAGUAAUAUCAAAGAGUUCAUUAACUCUCAACAGAUUUUCAAUGCGUCCAUAGAGGAAAAACUACUCAAAAUAGACGAUUUGGCUAAGAGCGUUGAUAGGAUGUCUUGUGAUAUUGAUGCUUUGAAAGUUAGAUGUGCUCCUCCCAAGGUCAACUUGGAUGAAACUUUAAAAGCUAUGCGUAUCUCCAUGAAUGAGAGCAAAGAAAGAACCGCCCAAAUUCGUGCUAGGCAUGAAUGGUUUAAAAGGGUGCGUUCUAGUGAUGCAAAUCACGAAGAUCUUAAUGUUCUUGGUGUGACUCCUCUUGAAUCUUCGUUUUCGCGUGUCAAACCUAUUGAUGAAGGGGCUGGAUAUGAAUCCACUUUGGUUGAAAAACGCCCCAAUGAUUUGGAGUCCACCUAUCUUGAUGAUAAAGGUGUGGAGAGUGGAGUAGAAGAAAUCAAAAUAUUGGGUAGUAAUGAAACUCCCACUUUGGAUUUCAAGGAAUUCAAUUAUGAUAGUUGCUCCUUGUUUGAAUGCAUUUCUUUGAUGCAAUCCAUUGCAGGCUCUCCACAUGCUUAUAGCCAAAGCAAAGCCUUUACCGCACAUAUCGUAGGUGCUAUGAUGAAAUCUCUUGAAGAGAAACUCGAAUUAGAAGUCUCUAUACCUAGAAAACUUCAUGAUGAGUGGGAACCUACUAUCAAAAUCAAAAUCAAAAACUAUGAAUGCAAUGCUUUGUGUGAUUUGGGUGCUAGUGUUUCCGCGAUACCAAAGUCUUUAUGUGACAUUCUUGGUUUUCAUGAGAUUGAAGAGUGUUCUCUUAAUUUGCAUCUUGCGGAUUCUACUGUCAAUAAACCCAUGGGAAGGAUCGAUGAUGUUCUUAUUGUUGCAAAUAAGAACUAUGUACCCGUGGAUUUCAUUGUACUUGACAUAGAUUGCAAUCCUUCAUGUCCCAUUAUUCUUGGUAGACCUUUCCUAAGGACUAUUGGUGCUAUCAUCAAUAUGAAGGAAGGGAAUAUUAGAUUUCAAUUUCCUCUAAAGAAGGGCAUGGAGAAUUUUCCUAGAAAGAAAAUAAGAUUGCCUUAUGAAUCUAUGAUGAGGGCUACUUAUGGUUUGAGCACCAAAGAUGACUAUACGUGAUUCCAUCACCUUUUGCCUAGCUAAGGGCGUUAAACAAUAGCGCUUGUUGGGAGGCAACCCAACAAAUCUAUACUUUUUCUUUCUGUUUUGUUUUUUCCACACUUUCAUAAUUCUGUUAUGAUUGUGUUUUUGUGUUUCUUGUUGCGUUUGUGCCAAGUAAAACCGUUAUGAUUAGUCUUGGGGAUGAUCGUUUGGUCAUGCUGGAAAAGACAGAAACUUUCUGCUCACGGAAAUAAUUUUCUUUUCUUUGUAAGAUAUUUUGUGUUGAUUCUUUUUGCUGCUGAUUGCUACACAAAUUCUUCGGACUGUCAUAAUUUUUCAGAAUUUUUGAAGUACCAGAAGUAUACGAACUAUAUAGAUUGCUACAGACUGGUCUGCUGUUAACAGAUUCUGUUUUUGUUGAGUUGGUUGCUUAUUUUGAUGAAACUAUGGAUAGUAUCGGGGGUAUUAGCCAUGGAAGAUUGAAAAUACAAUAACCCAACAUCAACAUAAGUAGAAUUUAAGUUUGCUACAGUACCUAAGGAAGUGGUGGUUUGCUUUCUUAUACUAAUGAUAUCACGAGUUUCUGUUUAAGUUUCGUGUUGUGAAGUUUUCAAGUUUUGGGUGAAGUUCUUAUGGACAAAGAGAUAAAGAGUGGCAAGAUCUCAAGCUUGGGGAUUCCCAAGGCACCCCAAGUUGAUUCAAGGAUGCCGUAAAAGCCUAAGCUUGGGGAUGCCCUGGGAAGGCAUCCCCUCUUUCGUCUUCAAUCCAUCGGUAACAUUACUUUGGGCUAUAUUUUUAUUCACCACAUGUUAUGUGUUUUGCUUGGAGCGUCUUGUAUCGUAGGAGUAUUUUAUUUUUGUUGUGUCACAAUCUUCCUUGCUGCACACCUAGAGAGAGAGACAUGCACUCACCGUGAUUUUGUCGAGCUUCACUUAUAUCCUUUGGUUAGACAAUUCAGCUCACAUGUGCUUCACUUAUAUCUUUUGAGCUAGUUGAUUUUGCUCUAUGUGCUUCACUUAUAUCUUUUAGAGCACGGAAGCGCGUGGUUUGGUAGUUGGCUUAUGCUAUGAAAGUAGUCUCAAAAGGGGUAGUUAUCCAAAGGGAUAUGAAAACUUCCAUCUUCAUGUGCAUUGAAUUGUUAGAAAAGUUUGAUUCCUCUCAAUUAGUUUUGAGAUGUGGUUGUGGUAAUAUUUAAGUUAUGUUAGUAUGGUGUUGUGGAUCUAGAAAUACUUGUGUUAAAGUUAGUGAUUCCCGUAGCAUGCACGUAUGGUGAACCGCUAUGUGAUGAAGUCUGAGCAUGAUUAGUUUAUUGAUUGCCAUCCUUUGUGUAGCGGUCGGGAUCGCGUGAUGGUUUAUACCUACCAACCCUUCCCCUAGGAGUAUGCGUUGAAUGCUUUGUUUCGAUUACUACUAAAACUUUUGGAACAACUAUAUGAGUUCUUCAUGACUAAUGUUGAGUCCAUGGUUUAGAUGCACUUUCACCUUCCACCAUCACUAUCUUCUUUAGUGUCGUGCAACUUUCGCCGGUGCACAAAACCCACCAUUAGCCUCCCUCAAAACAGCCACAAUACCUACCUACUAUGGCUUUUUCAAAGCCAUUCCGAGAUAUAUUGCCAUGCAACUACCACCAUGACAUGUGCCACAGCUUCUACAUUGCCAUUGCAUGAUCGGAAGAUAGCUAGCAUGAUGUUUCCAUUAAUGUCUAUGCCAUGCUAGAUCAUUGUCACGGUACACUACCGAAGGUAUUCCAUAUAGAGUCAUCAUUGCUCUAAGUUUUGAGUUGUAAGUGUGAUGAUCAUCAUUGAUGGAGCAUUGUCCCAUGUGAGGAAAUAAAAGAGGCCAGCGAAGCCCAUUUACAAAAAGAGGCCAAAGAUGCCCACCAAAAAAAAUAAAAAUAAAAUAAAAUAAAGAGGCCAAAGAUCCCACCAAAAAAAUGAGAGAAAAGAGAGAAGGGACAAUGCUACUAUCUCCUUCCACACUUGUGCUUAUUAAGCACCAUGAUCUUCAUGAUUGAGAGUCUCUCGUUUUGUCACCACCAUAUAGCUAGUGGGAAAUUUUCAUUAUAUAACUUGGCUUGUAUAUUCCAAUGAUAGGCUUCCUCAAAAUUGCCUUAGGUCUUCGUGAGCAAGCAAGUUGGAUGCACACCCACUAGUUUUCUUUAAGAGCUUUCACAUACUCUUAGCUCUAGUGCAUCAUUUGUAUGGCAAUCCCUACUCAUUCGCAUUAAUAUCUAUUAAUGAGCAUCUCCAUAGCUCAUUGAUAUGCCUAGUUAAUGUGACCAUCUUCUCCUUGUUUGUCCUGCAACCUCCACCACACUCCAUCCCACUUGUAGUGCUAAAACCAUGGCUCACGCUCAUGUAUUGCGUGAGAGUUGAAAAAGUUUGAGAAAGUAAAAGUGUGAAAACAAUUACUUGGCCAAUACCGAGGUUGUGCAUGAUUUAAAUUCGUUGUGCAAGGGUGAUAGAGCAUAGCCAGACUAUAUGAUUUUGUAGGGAUAACUUUCUUUUGGCCUUGUUAUUUUGAAAGUUCAUGAUUACCUUGCUAGUUUGCUUGGAGUAUUAUUGUCUCCACGUCAAUAGCAAACUAUUGUUUUGAAUCUAAUGGAUUUGAACGUUCACGUCACAUAAGAGUAGUUACAAAGGACAUCUAUGCUAGGUAGCAUGAAAGCAUCAAAAAUUCAUUCUUUAUCACUUCCCUACUCGAGGACGAGCAGGAGUUAAGCUUGGGGAUGCUUGAUACGUCUCAAACGUAUCUAUAAUUUUUGAUGGUUUCAUGUUGUUAUCUUGUCAACUUUUGAUGUUUUAUAUACCUUUUAUAUCUUUUUUGGGACUAACUUAUUAAUUCAGUGCCAAGUGCCAGUUCCUGUUUUUUCUGUGUUUUUGACUCUUUUCAGAUCUGAUUUUGGAACUGAGUCCAAACGGAAUAAAAUCCCCGAAAUAAUUUUUCCAAAACAAAAGAAGAUCGGGGGACUUGAGGGCCAAGGCAGGAGAGCCAUAGGGGGCCCACAAGCCCUGUAGACGCCACCAGGGGGCGGCGGCUACCAGGCUUGUGCCCCCCUGGAGCUCCCCUGCCCUAGCUCUUUCGCCUAUAUAUUCCAUAAAAUCCCAGAAAAAAUCAGGGCAUCCACGAAAACACUUUUCCGCCGCCGCAAGCUGCCCUUUCCGCGAGAUCUCAUCUGGAGACCCUUCCCGGUGCCCUGCCGGAGGGGACUUUGGAGUUGGAGGGCUUCUACAUCAAGAUCAUCGCCUCUCCAAUGACUCGUGAGUAGUCCACUUCAGACCUACGGGUCCGUAGUUAGUAGCUAUAUGGCUUCUUCUCUCUCUUGGAUCUUCAAUACAAAGUUCUCCAUGAUCUUCAUGGAGAUCUAUCCGAUGUAAUCCUCUUUGGCGGUGUGUUUGUCGACAUCCGAUGAACUGUGGAUUUGUGAUCAAAUUAUCUAUGAACUAUAUUUGAGUCUUUGUUGAUUUCUUAUAUGCAUGAUUUUAUAUCCUUGUAAGUCUCUCCGAGUCUUGGGUUUUGUUUGGCCAACUAGAUCUAUGAUUCUUGCAAUGGGACAAGUGCUUGGUUUUGGGUUCAUACUGUGUGGUGACCUUUCCCAGUGACGGAAGGGGCAGCAAGGCACGCAUCGUGUUGUUGCCAUCAAGGGUAACAAGAUGGGCUUUCAUCAUAGAUUUGAGAUUGUCCAUCUACAUCAUGUCAUCUUGCUUAAGGCGUUACUCUGUUCUUAUGAACUUAAUACACUAGAUGCAUGCUGGAUAGCGGUCGACGUGUGGAGUAAUAGUAAUAGAUGCAGAAAGUAUCGGUCUACUUGCUUUGGACGUGAUGCCUAUAGAUAUAAUCAUUGCCAUAGUAAUUCGUCACCCACCGUCUACUUGCUUUCAUGAGAGAAGCCACUAGUGAACACUACGGCCCCCGGGUCUAUUCACAACUAUCGUCUCCACUUUCACUUUUACUUUGCUUUGUUUACUUUUUGCUUUCAGUUCUCACUCUGCAAACAAUCUAUAAGGGAUUGACAACCCCUUCAUAGCGUUGGGUGCAAGCUCUUUGUGUUUGUGCAGGUACUUGUGACUUGACGCGAUCCUCCCACUGGAUCGAUACUUUGGUUCUCAAACUGAGGGAAAUACUUACCGCCGCUCUAGUACAUCACGCUUUCCUCUUCAAGGGAAGACCAACGCAAGGCUCCAAGGCCGCGGGGAAAUCCUUUGCAUAUUUGCCAAGGAAGUCCCUAUAGGUGUAGCCCGUAGCAGCAGGAUUCCUGGCGCCGUUGCCAUGGAAGGUCUGUUGUCGCAGUAGCAGGCAUCCCUUCUUUUGUCUCAAUCCAUCGGUAUGUCACUUGGAGCUAUAUUUUUAUUCAUCACACAAUAUGAGUUUUGCUUGGAUCAUCAUUUGCUUUAGUUUGCUUUUUUCAGUUUUACACAUUCAUCAUUCUCUUAAUAAACCUAUUUGAGAGAUACACAUUAUCAUCAUGAUUUAUUAGAAUACUCUUUGUGCUUCACUUAUAUCUUUGGAGCUUAGCAGUUUCUCUAGUACUUCACUUAUAUCUUUCAUAGCACGAUGGCGUAUAGGUUUUAUAGAAAUAUUUGCGCUCUCGUUCUUCACUUAUAUUUAUUUGACAGUUAUUUAAUAGCGACGGUAAUUUGCAUGGGUCAUAAGACUAGUUCAAAAAUAAUAAGUAUUCAAUAAGCGCAUAAUCGAACCACAUGUAGCACAUAAAACAGAAAUCAUGGUUAAUGAUAUUAAUGUGUUAAUGUGAUAAAGCAUGAGUGCAUGAUCAUUGGUUAAUAUAGGUAUCGUGAAUUAGAGGUGUUAACUUGUUGUUCAUAUAAAUAUUUUUAUGGCAUGGUGAUGAUGUGUGAGCAUACUUAUUCCUCGUUAAAAUCAUAGUAUUGUUUAAGUUGGGGACGCACAAUGGUUAACUCCUACCAACCUCCUCCCUCGGGGCAUGCGAGUAGUGCUUUGCUUUGAGAGACCUAAUUAAAUCUUGAAAUAAGUGUGUGAGUUCUUUAUGACUAAAGUGAAUCCAUGGAUAUACACACUCUCACCUCCACAUAUUCACUAGCCUUUUCGGUACCGUGUAUUGCCCAUUUUCACCUCGAGGAUCGGUGCAACCUUCGCCGGUGCAUCCAAACCUCGAGACAUGAUACCGUGUGUUGCACAUAAGCCUCAUUAUAUUUUUCUCAAAACAUUCACCAUACCUACCUAUCAUGGCAUUUCCAUAGCUAUACCGAGAUAUAUUGCCAUGCAACUUUCACUCUCACAUCAUAUGACUUAUACUUCCAUUGUUAUAUUGCUUUGCAUGAUCGUAAGAUAGCUAGCAUGAUAUUUACAUGGUUUAUCCAUUUUUUGAUAUCUGUUACUAUCCUAGAUCAUUGCACAUCCUAGUACACUUCCAGAUGCAUUCAUAUAGAAUCAAAUCAUCCUAUCAGUUUUUCAUAUUGAGUUGUAAAAAAAUAAAGUGCGAUGAUCAUUAUUAUUAGUGCACUGUAUCAGUGAGGAAAGGAUGAUGGAGACAAUGACUCCCCCACAAGUCAGGAUGAGACUUCGAACAAAAAAAAAGAAAAAAAGAAAAAUAAAAAAAGUACAAAAAAAGAGAAAGAAAAAGGGAAAAAGAAAAGGUAAAAAAAAAGAGAAAAGAGACAAGGUACAGUGCUACUACCUUUUAUUCCGCACUUGUGCCUCGAAGUGGCAGCAUGUUCUUCAUAAAGAGAGUCUUCUGUUUUGUCACUUCCAGAUGCUAGUGGGAAUUUUUCUUUAUAGAACUUGUCUUGUAUAUUCCGAUGACGGGCUUUCUCAAAUGCCCAAGGACUUCAUGAGGAAGUAAGUUAGAUGCACACCCACUUAGCAUCAGUUGAGCUUUCAUACACUUAUAGCUCUAGUGCAUGUGUUGCAUGACAAUCCCUACUCCUUGCAUUGAUAUCUAUUGAUGGUCAUAUCCAUAGCCCGUUGAUACGCGUAGUUGAUGCGUGACUUCCUUCUCCACUUUCACCCCUUUGAAAUCUACCAACAUAUUCUAUUUCACCUUUAUGUUGUAUCCAUAGUUCACGCUCAUAUAUUGCACAAGUAAUAAAAACUGAAGCGUGUUAAAAAGUACGAUCCAAUUGCCUAACUUGACACCGUGGUGCUUAACAUUUGUAUUUAUAUGGUGAGAACGGAGCAAUGCUAUAUUUAUAUGAUUAAAUGAAUACGGGGUGAACAUUCUUUAAGGAUUAUAUGCUUUGAAACUUGAUGAUUAUUUUGCUUAUUUUUUAUAAGCAUUACUAUGAUUGAUGUUUAUUAAUUCAUUGUUUCUCAAUGACUAAACCUACAAUAUAUUACAUGUUGGGUAGCAUGUCACAUCAAAAAUUCUGUUUUUAUCAUUUACUUACGCGAGGACGAGGAGGAAUUAAGCUUGGGGAUGCUGAUACGUCUCCAACGUAUCUAUCUUUUUUUUGUUCCAUUCUAUUAUAUUAUCAUUCUAGGAUACUUUUGGGGAGUUUAUUUACCAAUUAAUAUUAUUUUUGAGCACUAACCUAUUAACCCAGUGCUGAGUGCCACUUGCUGUUUUCUGCACGUUUUUGGCUUUUCAGGUUUACAGUACCAAAAUUUUUGGUCAAUUUUCCUAUACCAAAAGAAGACGUGGAAGUUUCGGGAGGAGACUAGAGGAGUCACAAGAAGGAACGAGCCAACCAGACAUGACCACGGGGUAGAGCGCGCUUGUUUGUAUCAUGCUCCCCUCGGAUGCCUCCUGGUGCCCCUCUAUGGUCUAUAAGUUCACAUAUAUUCCAAAAUCCCUAGAGAGCCCCCGAAACAGUUUUUUCAUCGCUCCAAGUCUCUGUUCCGCUGUGUGCCCAUCUGGAUCCCUGUUCCGGUGCCCUGUCGGAGGUGGUAUCGACCACGGAGGGCCUCUACAUCAUCCUUGUUGCUUUCAUGGUGAUGUGUGAGUAGUUCACCACAGACCUACAGGUCCGUAGUUAGUACCUUGAUGGCUAUCUCUCUUUCUUAAUCUUCAAUACAACAAUCAUCCAAUCGUCGCUUUGAUCUAUCUGAUGUACUUCUCUUGUGCGAUGCGUUUGUUGGGAUCCAAUGAAUUGUGCAUUCACGUUGAGAUUAUCGAUGAUAAAUAUUUGAGUCUUCUCUAAAUUCUAAAUAUGAUACUUAUGUGCAUGAUCAUUGUAGCUUCAUAAAUCUCUCCGCUCUAUUGAUUUGCUUUGGUCAAGUAGAUUGAUCUUUCUUCAGUGAGAAGGGUGCGUUGUAGUGGGUUAAAUCUGACGAAUUUCUAUAUCCUACUGAUAGAAAGGGGACAAGAUACGUCUUUGUAUUGUUAUCAUUAAGGAUAAAACGACGGGGUUAGUUCAUAUUAAUUGAAUUCUAUUUGUCUACAUUAUGUCAAUGUUUUUCAAGCAUUACUGUGUUUUACUUAAUAGUCUAGAUGCAUGAUGGACAACGGUCGAUGGGUUGAGUAAUAUUAAUAGGUGCAGGGAGGAGUCGGCUUGUUUUUUUAUGGACGUGCUGCGUAUAUACACAUGAUGAUAGUCGUGAAUAUCACAAAAAUAUGCAAAAAUCCAAAUAUGCUCCGAGGCUCAUCUCCUUCCGCCAACGAAAAAAAUUAAAAACAAAUACUAGAAAAAACAAAAAAAAACUCUAAAAUAAUUUUGUUUGGUAGAUAUUUUGAUGUGUGAGGUCCACUUCAAAUUUCAACUUAUUUGGACAUCUGAGCAGCUUUCGGCAAAAAAGACAAAUAGGGUCAUAACACUUCAUGCACACUAAACAUUUUGUACAUACCCCGAUUUAACUUUUUUGCUGAGAGCUACUCAGCAGUCCAAAUAAGUUGAAGUUUUGUGCAUUCCUCACGCACCAAAUUAUCUACCACGCAAAAAAUGGAUAUUUUUGAAUUUUCUAGUAUUUGUUUUCAUUUUUUUCGUCAGUGCAGGUGCAGAUGAGACAGAGAGCAGAAACACCGCUCUCAUAAAUAUGUGAUUUUUUAUCAAUUGCUCAAGUGUAAUUUGUUUACCCAUCGUAUACUUGAUUUGAUGAGAGAUGCCACUAGGGAAAACUAGGCCCCCGGGGGUCUAUUCUCUUAUAAGUUUACAAAUGCUACAAUACCUUGCUAUUCUUAUUUACUUUUAUUUUAUUUUAUAAUUUAUAAUUAUCUACUACCAACCACACUACUUACAAACUUGCAAAUAACGAGUUCAAGGCGAUUGAUAACCCUCUUGCCCGUGUUGGGUGCGAGUGUUUGCUCUUUUGUGUGUAGGCGCUGAAGACGGGGGUUGGUUGUUGCUCCUAUUGGUUCGAUAAACCUUGAUUCUCUAUUAAGAAAAAUACUUACCUAUAUUAUGCUGCAUCACUCGUUUCUCUUUACGAAAACCCAACGCGGAUCACAAGCAUCAACAACCAAACACGUCCUUGAAUCACUUGUGUGUCGUGUUUGGCAUGAUUGUUUUUAUUACCAGCAUGAAUUCGUGGCAUUGGUUUUACCCUUUCAAAAGAAAAAAAAUAAAAAACAAAACAAAUUCAAAAUAAAGAAGUUUUCUAAGAAAGAAUGAAAUGUUUUAAGAAAAACAAAUGAAAAUAAAAACCAUGAAAAACUUGCACACAAUUUGCACUGAAAUUGCACUUUUUGAAAUAUGCAAAGAAUAAUCAUAUAUCAGUGCAAUUUAUACAUUCAACUAUAAGUUACAAACAUAUUAUUUAGUAUUUGCAUUUAUACUUACACGGUAAGAAAUACGUUUUCUAAGAAGGAAUGAAUUAUUGGCAUUUAUAUUACCCUGAAGAAUGAGAGUGAAAAUAAUAAAAAAUAAUAGUGAUAAUAUUGGCACACAAUUUAUACAGAAGUUGCUGUUUUAAAAAUAUGGAAGAAUAAGCAUAUAGUGGUAGAAUUUUAAAAAAGGAUAUUUAAUAAGAAGUAAUGAAUUCUUGACAUACUAACAUUGAUAUUACCCUUAAAGAGGAAAGAUGAUAAGAAUAUCAAACUCGAAAUUAUUAAACUACCAAAAAAGACUAAAUUACUGGCAUUGAUACUACAAUUUAAGAAGAAAGAAAAUGGAAAAAGAACCUAAAUCCAAUAGUGACAAAAUUUAGAUAAAACAUACACACAGAUGCGCUUUUUAAAUAUAUGCAACAAUAAGUAUGUAAAAUUGAAGUUUACACAAAAAACACAAAAAAUGAAUGAAUUAGCGGCAUUGGCAUUACCCUUAAAGUAGAAUGAAAAUGAAGUAAAGACUACAACAAAUAUAAAAAUAAUGAUUUUUUCUGAAAGAGAAUGAAUUAAUGGCAUUCGUAUUUCCUUUAAGAAGAAAAGUAAAUUUUAACAAAAAAAUACACACAACUUUGCACCGAAAUUGCAUUUUUUAAUAUAUAUAAAUAAUAAUCAUUUAAUCACAUAAUUUUGGCACAUACUCCCUCUGUAUCAAAAUAUAAGACAUUUGUUACACGAUCGUUGUAUCAAAAAACGUCAUAUAUUUUGAUACGGAGGGAUUAUUAUGUUUUAUUUCUGUGUGUGUGUGUGUGUGUGUGUAUGUAUAUAUAUAUAUAUAGACUCAACAACAUCCCAAAUGUACUCAUAAAACAAAAAACAAAAAAUAACUACCAAAAAGAGAGAGAAAAAUAAAAACAAAAACGCAUAAAACAUAAAAUAGAAAAAUAAAGGAGAAAGAAGAAGGCUAUGUCGCACUGGAAUGGGCUUUGGCCCGUUAAAUAAUUGACUGGCCCAAAUAUGUGGUCAGUCAAAAAAAAACCCAAGAUAACAAGCAGACUAACUUAGAAAAAAAUGUACACGAAACUUAAAGUUGAAAUCAACGGCCCAAAUAUUGACUAAUCCAACAUUAAUUUUCAGGCAACUUAUUAUUAUUAUUUUUCAGGAAAAUGCGUGUUUAUUUUUCGGAAAUAACGCUACAGUCAGCUAAUACAAAAUCUAUGGCCAUGUCUGAAUCAUGGUGUAAUCAACAAACGGUGCUACCUCCAGUUACGUGUGUAUAACUAAAGUGUUGUCAUUAACCAUCCUUGGUGGUCACCCGCAAAAAAAACAUCAUUGAUGGUACAUAGUAGUUCCUCUGUUUCUAAAUAUUUUCUGUAGCAUUUCCUCUGUUUCUAAAUACUUUUUAUUGGGAGAACUAGAUUAGUUUUUUGCAAUAAUAAAUAUUGUGAUAGAGAGGAAGUAUUAAUUAAGCUAAGCUUUAAGCACUGUCGGUUAAAUAAAUCGUCCACUUGGCAAUACCGUCUUACGGCGAAACUGGCACGCCGUGCAGGCCAGGGUUUCGGGAAAGGAUCGAUGGUUGCUCCGGUGGCCGGAGCUACAGAUAGACAUCGCAAGUGUCGGGCAGCCGUCUUAAAGUAAAUGCACGCAUCGGCUCUUCACGUCCGUUUCCCGCCGCACGUCCUUAUCCGUCAUGAAUUUCGGAGACUUUGCCCCCUCAGCCCCUCCAAGUAACUCGCCGUCUAUGGUCCUGUUUCUUUAAAAAGUCCUAAGAUUUUUUAAGUCCAACUAAAAACUCUCUAGUUCUUACCCGUUUCUUUUCAGAGAGUAAAUAUGGACUAGAGGUCAUUAAAUGACAUGCAAAAAGACCAUGUUACCCCUAGUAAUGUACUAGAAAUUAUUAAAUGACAUGCUAAAAGUAGGGGUACUAUUGAAAAAAGUGAAAAAAAAAGUCCCAAAAAGACCCUCCCAUAGGGACUUCUUCCUUUAGUCCCAAAUACCCCUUUUAAUCCCUAAAAGUCCCUCAUGUUUCUUUCACAUGGGACUAAAAGAAACUUUUUUUAGUCCCUACAACGAAAAGUCCGUGUAAAGAAACACCCCCUAUAUUACCAUCGGAGACCACAACACCACACCACGACGAAUCACCUUGAUCAAGCUGCCCUGAGGUCGUCAGUCAUCACCACUCAAAGUAAGAGGGUGCUUGGAUACGUUUUAGUUCCAUGACUAAAAGUAAUGGGACUAAAACUUGCUAGCCUCAUCCAUGCUUGGAUCCAAAUACUAAAUACACUAAAAUCAAGUUAAUGAGCAUUUAUUAUCCUCCAAACCCUUCAAUCCAGAACUCGUCUGUGUUAAAGGAGAGGAGUUAAAUGAGGAGAGAGAGGACUAAUCCACAUUUUAGAGGGGUACCCCUGACUAAAAUUUUAGCCCCUCUUUAGUGAGUGAUGCUUGGAACUUUAGCCUGCUAAAUAGACUAUUUUUAAUCAGACNNNNNNNNNNNNNNNNNNNNNNNNNNNNNNNNNNNNNNNNNNNNNNNNNNNNNNNNNNNNNNNNNNNNNNNNNNNNNNNNNNNNNNNNNNNNNNNNNNNNNNNNNNNNNNNNNNNNNNNNNNNNNNNNNNNNNNNNNNNNNNNNNNNNNNNNNNNNNNNNNNNNNNNNNNNNNNNNNNNNNNNNNNNNNNNNNNNNNNNNNNNNNNNNNNNNNNNNNNNNNNNNNNNNNNNNNNNNNNNNNNNNNNNNNNNNNNNNNNNNNNNNNNNNNNNNNNNNNNNNNNNNNNNNNNNNNNNNNNNNNNNNNNNNNNNNNNGUCUGAUUAAAAAUAGUCUCUUUAAAAGGCUAAAGUUCCAAGCACCCAUGAAUAAAGAGGGGCUAAAACUAGUCUUGAGACUAAUUUUUUUUAGCCAGAGGUACCCCUACUAAAAUGUGGAUUAGUCAUCUCUCUCCUCAUUUAACUCCUCUCCUAGAACAUAGGCGAGUUCUGAAUUGAAGGGUUUGAAGGAUAAUAAAUAAUCAUUAACUUGAUUUUAGUCUCUUUAGUAUUUGGAUCCAAGCAUAGAUGAGGCUAGCAAGUGUUAGUCCUACUACUUUUAGUCAUGAGACUAAAAUAUAUCCAUGCAUCCUCUAAAAUAAGGCCCUUGGAUCCAAGCACCCUCUAAGAAAAAGAGGGUAGCAACCGACCGACAAGCCACAAACCAAGAGGGACGCACGCGUAUACGUACGUAGGUUAUGUACACACAACAAGAAGUGAUUAACGAUGUGCAGCGAUGCAAUCCUCGCCGAGCUCAUACCGAGCGCGCCGGCAAGGCGCAUCUCGACGGUCCACCUCUUUCCCAAGCAGCGGAGGGUCGACAGCUUCGAGGCUGCUUUCAAGCGCUUCGACGAGGACUCUGAGGAGGAGGAGGUGCUCCAGUGCGCGGGUUUCGAGUUUGGCGCCCACAGGCAGCCGGCAGCGAGGCCGGCGCAGUUCAGAGGCAUCCGGCGCCGGCCGUGGGGCAAAUGGGCGGCAGAGAUCCACGACCCCAUCAAGGGCGUCCGGGUCUGGCUCGGCACCUUCCCCUCCGCCGAGGCCGCCUCGCACGCCUACGACGCCGCCGCCCGCAGGGACGAUUCUAGGGGGACGAGGGGGGCUAGACUCCCCUAACAAAUUCAUUUUUCUACUAUAAUAGUGAUCAUUGUAGCCAAAAAAAAUGAAUUAUAUGAAUUUUGCCUCCUUCAUGUAUAAACUAGCCUCCCUAUGCUUGCAUGCUCGCUCCCUCCCUGGCCGCCCGCGAUUUUAGCGGCGCCAACGCCAGGCUCAACUUCCCCUCUUCGUCCACGAGCGCACCCAUGCGCCGCGUGGCCGCGAAGGCGACGCCAUGCCUUGUUGUUGACCUCGUCGAUGACGAAGAGGAUGAUGCCGAAGCAGUUGAUGCCGGCGGGAUGAGCUCCGGAUCCAGCGGCACCCUGCCAGUCUUCUCAUGGCAGGGCAGGUCCACGUCCAACGAGAUCAUGGCGCAAUAUGUUCAUGCUAAAGUGGAGUCCGGCCAGUCCGUCGUCGACCUAGGCAGCGCCAAGAAGCGGCCCCGGCUUGAAGCCGACGCGGUUCUGCCGGCGGUGUCCGACGAUUCCGCCAACAACCAACUGUUAGACCCUUUCCUGUUUGACCAAUUCAGUUUCUUGAACAGCAGCUCGUACGGGUGGCUAGAUAGCCUGUUCAGCGCCGAUGUCGCGAAGAUCGAUGACGGGCAGCUGGGGUUAUGGACCUUUGGCGACGAUGACCAUCUCGCCGAGGACAAAGCUCGGCGCGUGCAAGUUUUUUUUUUUGAAAGAUCCAGCUUCGAAUGCUGGCAUAUAUAAAACAUAGCAGGUAGAAAUGCGGUUAUAAAAGGGGCGGGGGAUACGAUCGAAAGAUCAAGGAGAAAAUCGUGAGAGAAAGGAAAAAAAUGGGAGAGGAAAAGAACAGAGCAAGUAGAGUAGUAGUGUAUCAUCAAAGACGACAUGAUAGGACACUCGCAAGCGUGUGACAGUGUGAGGCUCCCCCACACCUUGUUGAUGAUCUUUCUUUCAUCGAAUGAACAAAUAAAUAAAUAAGGGCGGUACUGGGCCAGUGCUCGCGGCGGUCGGAGCUCAGUCGUCAAAUUCACGGACCGCAUCGUUUGAUCUUCAAUUCAGCAAAAAUUCCUCGAUGCAACAAAUUUUGAUCACGACGUUGCAAAUUUCGUCCACGGUUGCAAUAAAAGUAUGAUUAUAUCAAAAAAAUAUCAACGUGGUCGUAAGAAAAAAACGACGCUGAUGAUGCGUGGUAGCAAAACAAAAUGUGGUUUAUAGCAAAACAAUCCGGUGAACUCGGUUUGUAACUCUCACGAACGUGUAUGCAACUUUUCGUGAAUGGUUGCAACAAAAAAUGAUACCUGUUGUAGCAAAAAUUAACACGGUUGUAACAAAAGUCAAACGCCGGUUGUAGCAAAAAAAAAUCAAACGAACUCGAGUUACAACCAAACAUGAAUGUAACUUUUUUAGUGAACAAAUUAUAGCAAAAUGAGAAACGAUUGAAGAAAAAUUAAACGUGGUUGCAGCAAAUCCGGACGAAAAAAUGUUGCAAGCCCUGGCCAGCCAGCUGCGCGCGACCGGCCGAACGAUUCGGCUGGCGCGUCGGCUGGAAAGCGUUUCCCAAUAAAUAAACGGCUUUGCUAAAAAUUAGUCGCGAAGUCUCAGUCGAUACUAUAGUCCGUUGAUUUUGCAUUGAGAUUCGUGCAAAUAAUAUUUUUCCUCAUUUUUUUUCUUUUUGCAUAUUAUAUUACUUGAGUGAGACUUCUGUCGACUGAGACCUAGACACUUCCAUAAAUAAAACACCUUGUUGAUGAUGUAAAAACUUCGUAGUUUUGGAUUUCUCGUGUCCGACUUCAACGUAGUAAGUCGUUUCUGUGCAAAAAAAUAGCAGACCUGCCCAUUUGUGUUUAUGGCAUCCCCUAUAAGUACUUGAUACUUCUUGUCUGCCUUUCUUCCUACUUUUGUACCAACAAUGCAUGUUCUUAAUACGCAAACUAAAUAGUGCAUAUUUAUUUUUCACAAUAAGUUCAUUUUCCUAAGUUUUCAUGUUGCUCUUUAUCUUGGACAUAUCGGAUUAUUUACUAGGUCCAUGAGGCAUGCUAGUGCACUAGCUUGUAAAAAAAACGUUGUUAUCAAAGAAGGAGGGUGCUACGCGGAUUGAACAAUUUCGUUCUAUUUGUCUGUUAAACGUUAGCUUCAAUUUUUUUUACGAAGGUGGGAACGGAUAGGCUAAUUAAGAUGGCCCAUUCGGUGGUGCAAUCUACGCAGACAACCUUUAUGCCUGGACGUAACAUUCUAGAAGGGGUCGUGGUCUUACAUGAGAUGCACUCCAAAAAACUUGACGGGGUGAUAUUCAAAGUAGAUUUUGAAAAAGCAUACGACAAAGUGAAAUGGUCUUUUCUGCAACAAACCCUACGUAUGAAGGGGUUUGGUGAGAUAUGGCAAGCAUAUCGACUGUUUUAUAAAAAAAAAGGAAGUAUCGGUAUCACAGUAAAUGAUGAUGUGGGUCAUUUCUUUCAAACACUGAAGGGUCUCACACAAGGUGAUCCUAUGUCUCCUAUUUUAUUUAACAUUGUUGCAGAUAUGUUGGCACUCAUGAUCAGGAGAGCCAAUGAGAAGGACCUUAUAGGGGGACUAGUACCACAUCUUGUAGAUGGGGGUGUCUCUAUUCUACAGUAUGCAUAUGACACGAUCCUUUUCAUGGAACAUAAUUUUAACAAGGCCAGAAACAUGAAACUCAUCUUGUGCUUAUUUGAAUAGCUAUCUGGGCUGAAGAUUAAUUUUAACAAAAGUGAACUGUGUUGCUUUGGAAAUGCCAAAACAGAACAGCACACUUAUAAUCAACUGUUCGGCUGUGAAAGUGGUAAUUUACCUUUCACGUACUUAGGGAUCCCUAUCCAUCACCGAAAGUUGACAAAUAAGGAGUGGAAAUGUAUCGAAGACGGAUUUGAAAAAAAAUUAAGCUACUCGAAAGGCAAGCUUUUAUCCUAUGGAGGACGUUUGGUACUUGUUAAUUCUGUAUUAUCAAGCAUGCUCAUGUUUCUUCUAUCCUUUUUUGAAGUACCAGUUGGGGUGCGAAAAAGGUUGAAUUUCUAUCGGUCUAGGUUUUUCUGGCUGAGUGAUGAUGUCAAGACCAAGUAUAGGCUUAUUAGAUGGUACAUAAUCUGGAGACCAAAGGACCACGAAGGUUUAGGGAUUGAGAAUUUAGAGGUUAAGAACAGAUGUCUGCUCAGCAAAUGGUUGUUCAGACUAUCUGUGGAAACAGAAGGUAUGUGGGUAUAAAUUCUGAAGAACAAAUACUUACAACACAAGACCUUAGCUCAGGUCACCACAAGAUGAAGUGACUCUCCUUUCUGGAAGGGUCUGAUGAAGUCUAAAACUGCAUUUUUCAAGAGGACUAGGUUUGUCAUCGGAAAUGAUUAAUUAACUAGAUUCUAGGAAGAUACAUGGCAUGGGGGGAGCCCUUGGCUCUUCAGUAUCCGCAACUUUACAAUAUUGCCCAACAUCAACAGGUGUCCGUUGCGACAAUAUUGCGUGACAAUACUCCUCUAAAUAUUCAGUUUCGUAGAGCCUUGAUUGGUGACAGACGGAUUAGCUGGCUGUAUCUAGUCAGAAGGCUGAUGGACAUCAGCCUUUCUGACUGCCCUGAUAGUGUUCAAUGGAGGUUGACCACUAAUGGCAUAUUUAUUGUAAAAUUUAUGUACGUGCACCUCAUAGAUUCCGCGCUUAUUCCAAAAUCCAUGCAUAUAUGGAAGGUCAAAGUUCCCCUUAAGAUAAAAAUCUUGAUGUGGUUUGUUCACAAAGGAGUUAUUUUAAACUGAUGAUAACUUGGCCAAGCGUAAUUGGAAAGGAAAUUAAAAAUGCAGCUUUUGUCAGAAUAAAGAAACUAUUAAGCAUCUCUUUCUAGAUUGUCCUAUGGCUAAACUUUUAUGGUGCUCGAUUCAUAUCGCUUUCAACAUAAGCCCUCCUACUAGCAUUAACACGUUAUUUGGGUCGUAGUUAAAGGGGGUUAAUGUUUAAUAUGCUAAACUUACUCGGUUUGGUACAUGUGCACUAUUCUGGGCUGCAUGGAACUGCAUAAAUGAUUUAGUGUUUAACACACAAAGCUAUAUUCACUUUUUGCAGGUUAUCUUCGGGGCUACUGUCUUGAUCCGCACGUGGUCCUUACUCACUCCUGCGAAAGGCGGUGAGCCUUUGGUUACUGGGUGUGCCCGAUGGAAGAUGAUAGCUCAGGGUAUCUUCAACCAAUUUGGAUGACGACAUAUUAAUAGGAUAGGUGGAUAGUCAUCUAAGCCUAUUUCCAUUAUCGGUUGCGGCGCGAUAGACGCCUUGUAUCUUUUAUUUUUUUCAAGACCGCUAUGUACUUGGUUAAGACUGGUUUCGUGUUUAAUAAAAGGUUAUAUGCAUCACUCGAUGCAGAGGCCAGGACGAUGCCUCCUUUUCUAAGAAAAGAAAUCAUGACAUCGACAUAGUACAUACUUCUUCCAUUCCACAAUGUAGUGCGGCCGCGCUUCCUAAGAUUUAAAUUUAAUUAUAAAUUUCACCAAUGAGACUCACUGCGACUAUAGCAAAAAUUAUACCAUUGNNNNNNNNNNNNNNNNNNNNNNNNNNNNNNNNNNNNNNNNNNNNNNNNNNNNNNNNNNNNNNNNNNNNNNNNNNNNNNNNNNNNNNNNNNNNNNNNNNNNNNNNNNNNNNNNNNNNNNNNNNNNNNNNNNNNNNNNNNNNNNNNNNNNNNNNNNNNNNNNNNNNNNNNNNNNNNNNNNNNNNNNNNNNNNNNNNNNNNNNNNNNNNNNNNNNNNNNNNNNNNNNNNNNNNNNNNNNNNNNNNNNNNNNNNNNNNNNNNNNNNNNNNNNNNNNNNNNNNNNNNNNNNNNNNNNNNNNNCAAUGGUAUAAUUUUUGCUUCCAACGCAAUCAUUUUUGUUGGUUAAAUGUAUGGUCAAACUUAGAUCCUAGAAAUUACGGACGCGGUACAUUGUGAAAUGAAGGGAGUAUCAGUUUUCCUCAAUGUUGGCCACUCGUGUGUCGUAAUUGACACGAGGUCUUGUGGAGUGGAUACUUCAUAGUUCUUCACCUCAACGGGAGUGUACCAGGUGUGUUUCUUCCACUACAAUCAUGACCUUUUCUCUCCCAUGGUGAUAGAAGGACAUCUAGUUCGGCAGAGCGAGUUCCCAUUUUUUUUUUCUAAGCGAAGCUAAAAUAUUUGCCUUUUGAUUAAUUGAGUAAGGACAGUUGUAAGAUUCAAGAACCAGAGGUUUUUGGCCUCAUCCUACCCCAAAAAGAUAAAGGCAUAAGAACAUCUCUAGCAUACCCGUAUAAUUAUCGAAACUGUAAAAUUUCGAUGAUUAUACGGAUUUGGGCCGUUUUUACUACUAGACUAGCUACUGUAAACACGGUCCGGUCCGUAAUUUUUUUGCGGUGGCACGUAAAUUCGACCCCUCGACCACUAUAUAUGCGGGUUCGGCCGCUGGAUACGGGUCGAAACCCCAUCCCUCCGCCGCAGUAAAAAAUCCCCAUACCUCACCGCCGUCGCCUCAGAUCCGUCGCCGCGCGCCUCCAUUCCGCCGUCUAGCCGCUCCAAUCCACCGCCCAAGAUGGCCAACUCCACUGGUCGUGGCAACGACGACCCCGAGAGGGGUUGUCGCAUCAGAUCCGACGCCACAGGGAAGCGCGCCGCCCGACGGUACAUGUAGUGGGGCCUGACAGCGCCGCCGUCGCUCCUCCAUCAUGAGACAGAGGAGUACGGCAGCGCGCGCGACCGCCUCUUCUCCAGUAGCUCCUCCGAUGCGUUGAGCGCACGCUCGCGCUCCUCCCUCCCGAGUGAAGAGGGAGCUAGAGGAGCUCCCGCCGGUGAAGAUGGAGCCGGAGGCCGUGACGGGGGCGUCGUUGGACCAGAGGACUUCCUCCCCCCCCCCCCCCCCCCCNNNNNNNNNNNNNNNNNNNNNNNNNNNNNNNNNNNNNNNNNNNNNNNNNNNNNNNNNNNNNNNNNNNNNNNNNNNNNNNNNNNNNNNNNNNNNNNNNNNNNNNNNNNNNNNNNNNNNNNNNNNNNNNNNNNNNNNNNNNNNNNNNNNNNNNNNNNNNNNNNNNNNNNNNNNNNNNNNNNNNNNNNNNNNNNNNNNNNNNNNNNNNNNNNNNNNNNNNNNNNNNNNNNNNNNNNNNNNNNNNNNNNNNNNNNNNNNNNCCCCCCCCCCCCCCCCCCCGGCGGAGGGGAACAACCUUUUGCCCGCGUUGCUAACGCGCACUUCACGGGAGGCGGAAGAGGACCGGCAACGUCGCCUAGGAGAUCGACACCAUGCUCUAUAAGCAGGGUGUCGCGUCGGCCCUCGCCUUCGGCGACAAGGUUGAGGAGUGGCGCUGCGAAGCCACUGUACAGGAGCGCAUCUAUAUCGAACUCUCCGACGACGANNNNNNNNNNNNNNNNNNNNNNNNNNNNNNNNNNNNNNNNNNNNNNNNNNNNNNNNNNNNNNNNNNNNNNNNNNNNNNNNNNNNNNNNNNNNNNNNNNNNNNNNNNNNNNNNNNNNNNNNNNNNNNNNNNNNNNNNNNNNNNNNNNNNNNNNNNNNNNNNNNNNNNNNNNNNNNNNNNNNNNNNNNNNNNNNNNNNNNNNNNNNNNNNNNNNNNNNNNNNNNNNNNNNNNNNNNNNNNNNNNNNNNNNNNNNNNNNNNNNNNNNNNNNNNNNNNNNNNNNNNNNNNNNNNNNNNNNNNNNNNNNNCGACGACGACGACGACGACUGAGCGUUGCCGCAUCAACUACCACACAAGCUCCGCUGAGCUCAAUUUUACGUAGUGCGGUAGGGUAGUUAUUAGCUACGGUGAGCUUCGGUAGGGUUAGCUUAGCUCUACCUCCUUCUAGUACUUGUGCAGAAUGGAAUGUAGUAUGUAUGAUCAUGUAGUAUGUGAUGAAACUAUGAAUGAGUGUGGUUGCAAUUUCACCCGUGAAAGUUUGUUUUUUAAAUUAUGCAGUUUUAUAUGCGGGGUCUGUCCUCCAGCGCAGGAUUUCGUCCCGCAAAACCCCGCUUCAUCGAACUGUAAAUGACUUUUGCGGAUCGUAAAAAUGCGGGGUCUUCUAGAGAUGCUCUAAACAGAAUACUCACAUUAUAAAUGUUUGCCAAGAUGCUUUGUAGAUGUUAAGCCCCACAUUUGGGCUUCUCUAGUUUUGUCGAUGAGGACAGUCCAUAACAUACAUUUGCUUUUGAAUUCCUAGAUUUCUUUCCUAAGUUCCAAAGUAAUGAGCAUAAGAAUGGAGGCCAUGGCCAUACGAUCUAGUAUUGUGGUUGCUGAUCAUCCAGGUCCACCGAUCAUGAACCGAAGGUGUUGCGAUACAUAGAUGAGGCUGAACACAAGACAUAAUCAAGCCAUGCUUUAGUAGUAGACCACACACGCAGAGAAAACCAACCGGCAGGAAGAAAUAUGUAUUGGUCAGAUUCCGGGGCGUGCAAGCAGAGGAGGCAAACCCCAUGAUUUGGCCAGCGCCCACGCUGAAGAUGAUCGACGUUCCAAAUCAUGUUAUGAAGUACUUCCUCCGUUCCUAAAUAUAAGACCUUUUAGAUAUUGCACUAUAAACUACAUACGGAUGUACAUAAACAUAUUUUAGAACGUAAAUUCACUCAUUUUACUUCGUAUGUAGUCUUCUAGUGGAAUCACUAAAAGGUCUUAUAUUUUGAAACGGAGGGAGUACAAGUCAAGCAAAAAAUUGCUACAAUGCAGUCCUCAUGUUAGUUUGUGUGAGUGAGGUUGACAUGUUUUUGUUGCACUCGUAAUGCCGCGGGAGCCACUGAACUUGGGGUCGUUUGUACCGAUCUAUUUGUGUAUACUUGGCUUUUGAUGUAUAGAAGUUUGUCAUAUCAUCAGUGAUUAAUUGGAAAAUAAUUAACGUAGACGGAUAAACAUUGAACCCGCUAAAGAAGAACAGAAAUGCUAUCAAGCGAACGUUUGAUUUCUGGCAAUUCCAAGCGAAUGCUUCGGUUACCAUUCGUCUCCUGGCACGAAUCAUGGCGCAUGGCUGGUGCACAUCAAGUUUUCUGAAUCGUUUGCUCUAACCAGUUUCCUGGAGAACGCCCCCUCUUUUUAUUCUUCCCACUUUAGACUCAAAGUUGUUUUGUGAACACAUGUGGUAGAACUUUCUAUAUGUACUUUGAAGCUAAAAUGACCGGAAUUCAACUUUUCAUUUUGAAAUUUUCGGCCAAAGAAAAAUCCAAAAUGGCCAAAACAAUUCCAUCUUUGUAAGAGAAAAAAUCCCUAUUUUUGCCAUUUAUAACUGAAAUUCCAAAAUUUGUCAUGUUUUUUAGAGAACAAUUUUUAAAAUUCUACAUAUCUUUUAGACGAGAUUUUUUUUCCUAAACUUGCGACGUACAAUUUUAUUAUAGGUAUCAUGACAAUUUCAUUUACUUAGACCAUAUCAUUUGUUUCCAUAAUCCCAUGCCAAUUUUUUUAAUUUUACCAUGGUAGUUGUUUUGUAGAUACCAUGUCAAUUUAAUUAAUUAAACCAUGGUAGGCAAUUUUGCAGUUAGACCGUGACAAAAGAAAUUCAGUUAGAUCAUGUAAAUUAUAUUAGUUAGGCCCUGUUUGGAUACACUCAGAUUAUAUAAUCCGGUUUUUAUAAUCUAUUAUGUCUCCAAACAGGACAGAUUAUAUUGCAGUUUAUAAAAACUAGAUAGCCAGAUUAUUAAAAACUCAUAAUCUACUCUACCCCAGCUAAAAUCAGAUUAUGGAUUACUAAUGACCCAUCACCCUUGGAAACUUGGAGAUAAUUACCUACUGCCACCGCCAUCGUCCUCCAAACAUGCCCAUCUAGAUUAUUACCUUUGCAGUUAAAAAACAGAGGACAUACAUGUCAUUGUACAAUAUAAAAUCUGGAUUACAGUUUAUAUAAUCUGGCCUCCAAACAUGCCCACCUAGAUUAUUUUUAUAAACCAGAUUAUAUAAUCUAUCUUCAUAAUUCAGAUUAUUAUAAUCUAUUAUGAUUCCAAACAGGGCCUUAGACCAUGGCAAUUUUAUAAUUAGACCAUGUCGAUUUUAUCAGCUAGACCAUGACAAUUUUAUUGUACGUACCAUGGCAAUUUAAACUUUUCGGCUAUGUCAUUUUCAGUUUAAAUUUCAGGUAGCACUUUCAGUUUGCGAUUUGAUAAUUUUGUUACUUUAGCUGUCGUCAUUUCUAUGCUAAAUAACAUGGCAAUUUGUGUGUGUUUUCAAGAUGUCAUUUAGCAUCUGAAUCCUGAAAAUGGCCAAAAACAACUCAGCAUAUAAACAUUUUUUAUAUUAAGUAUUUUUUUAUCUACAUCAUGGAAUUUCUUUUUUUGUCUAUGUAAAACGGAAUGGUGUUGGGUCUAGCUAGAGGCCUAGUAGAGGCUCUGGCUGACGUAAGGUUCCCGGUAAAUUAAAAAGUUUGCACGAUGGGGUUCGUCAUAGCGAACCAAACCUUCACACAGACGAGGAACCCCUCCCGGCCUCCCCCAAUGACGUCUUGGUAGCCAAUGUUGGGAUCCAGAAAGAAAAGGUCUUGUAAGCUUCGAGUUAACCUUUAUGCGGACGACGCUGUCAUCUUCGCCAACCCUGACAGGGGAGAGGUCGACGCCCUGUUACAAAUCCUGCGGGAUUUCGGACAAGCCGCGGGCCUUCACGUAAACCCGGCUAAGUCAACCGUCUCUGCUAUCCGUUGCGACGAGAUCAACCUUCAUGACGUCCUAGCAAACUUCGGUGGAUAGACGGUGGGCUUCCCGGUGAGGUACCUAGGCCUUCCUUUAACUCUAGCUAGACUGCGUUUGGUGCACAUCCAAUACAUUCUCGAUAGGAUUAGAGCCCGGCUGACAGGAUGGAAGGGCAAGCUCAUGAACAUCGUGGGCAGACGUGUUCUAGUUCGUAGCGUUCUGACCGCUUUGCCAACUUUCACCCUUUAUCUGCGGCGAGUGCCGAAGAAAUUCUUAGACGACAUAGACAAAGUUAGAGGACGCCUCCUUUGGGCCCAGGAGGAGCAGAUUUCUGGGGGAAAAUGCAAAGUCAGCUGGCCUAUGGUUUGCUCACCAGUCGACAACGGAGGCCUCGGUAUACUAGAGCUGCAACACUUCUGCAAAGCACUUAGACUUAGGUGGCUAUGGCUGUCCUGGAUAGCCCAAACAGACCAUGGAUUGGCACGCAGCUGCCAUGCGACGACGGCGGUAGAUCUCUCUUUGGCGCCUCUACGACAGUCACAUUAGAAGAUGGGGCAACGACAUCUUUCUGGCACUGCUCCUGGACGGAAGCAGGAAACCUAAAAACAGAAUUCCCAAUGCUGCACAAACACUCAAGGAAAAAGAACCGAUCCGUAAGAGAGGCACUUCAAAACGAGACUUGGAUAGCUGACCUCGCCCAUGGAGACACAACACAUGUCUGGGCCGAGGCAAUCAGACUGCACAGAUGGUUGCAGACCAGAGAGUUACACCUCCAGGAGAACACAAGGGACACCAUCAGUUGGAUACACGAGGCUUCAGGAGUAUACUCCGCCAGUUCAGCAUAUAAGGCCCAGUUCCAGGGCUUGACAAAAUCAUCUUUUAGGAAUCUUAUUUGGGCUACUUGGGCGCCAGCUAGAUUAAAAAUAUUCACCUGGCUGCUCCUGAGAAACGGACUUUGGUGCAAUGAUCGUCUAGAAAGAAGAGGAUGGCCAAACAGAUACUUCUGCCAACUAUGUCUCCGAAACCUCAAAUCGGCAGUACAUUUGUUUUGGCAAUGCACGAGGGCGUUGGCUGUAUGGACGCAUUCGUCGGCACGAAAGGGCUGCGCUUCGCUUCACCCAUCGGCAUGGAAUGAAAGGACCAAGCCAGAAGACAUCAUAGUGCAGAUGAUUACCAAGGCCAGGCCAGAACACAGAAAGGGCAUUAGGACUAUGAUAGUAAUAAUCACGUCGGAGAUUUGAAAAGAGCGAAAUGAUUGCACUUUCAAAAGAAAGACCUCGGCCGUCAACAACUUAAACAACUCAGUCACAGCAACCAUAGAAUUCUGGAGGCAGGCGGGAGCGGUCUGUUUCGAGCACCCCUUUGGGGAAUCACCGGGAGAAGUUACGUAGGUUCUGGGGAAAUGUUCUUUUUUUUCCUCUUCUUCUUUUUUUCCUUGAUCCUUCGGACCGAUCCCAUUUUGUUGUAGCCCGCCUUUCUACCUGCUUUGUUCAAUAUAUGUCAGCCAGGUGCUGGAUCUUUCAAAAAAAAAAAUCUGUGUGUAAUUGCCACGAUGGUGGUGUUUCCCGGCUGGGCUGAUCUACAAGGUGCAGCCGUAGGAUCGGACAUGUUGCACAAGAGGAUUAAAGCGUGAGUGUUUUGUUCGGCCUAUGAUGGACGGGAAGAAUCGAUUAUGCAAAGGUUUGGGGGCUGUUUACAUCCCCAACUACUGUAUUUGGAAGGAGAUGCAAUAGAAUGUUUUUACAUAUUACACCGUUGGUGGAGCUUCCUGCGGAUGUGGAUUCUCAUUGCAUCAUUCGGGGAUGGUUCGCGGGCGCGCUUGGUGUUGAGAGAAGCGUGGUGCAUGUUGAGGGGGCUCUAUGAACCGUGGCUAGCUCGAAACAACGGAAAGGAACGACAGAAAAAUCGAGGACCCGAGGAGUAUAGCAGAGAGGGUACCGAGGCUGAUUGAGGAGUGGAAAUGCAUCAAGGAGGGCCGGGUGGGUGCGCUGCCGAGCUCUUCAACACAGCGCUAGGAGCAGCCUGCUCAUGGCUGGGUGAAAGCAAAUUGUGACGGGGCUAUGUCUAAAACGUUGAAUUUUGGUGGCCACGGUACGGUUCUCAGGGACCACAAUGGAAUUUUCACAGCAGGAGCAUGCCGUUUUUUUCUCAAUGGCUGCCGAUCGGGAGCUCGCAGAACUGCUCUCCUGUCGACAUGUGAGGACACUUAUAUUGGAGACAGAUUCUCACACGGUGGUGGUCAAGUUAACUGAUCAUGGUAAGAAUCUGUCUGCGUACGGACAUGUGGUUCACGAGAUCAAAACACUACUUUAAACUCUCGACGCGUAUACAAGGUGGUUUUUUUUUUAUACAAGAGCAUCUACAGCCGGACGUCUGAAAUGACCCCUCAUACGUCACGCGGACAUGCCCGCUCAUUGACCGGACAGGAAAAAAAGGAAAAAUAUAAUUCAACCGGACCUCUCAUAUCAUCCUAUACGUCCGUCCUGUUCGCGAAACGUCAUAUCUAUCUUAAAUAUGGGUAGGAUAUAAGGGAUCGCGAACGCCCGGUCAGUCCGUCACAUAGGACGCGAUCCCAUCCAUGACCAUCUUUUUUUUUCUUUAUUCAUUCAUUUCUUUCUCUCUAUUCGUAUCCACCAAUCACGUGCAAUUGACCGGACAUAUAAGAAAAAAAUAAAAAUUAUGGCUGUGUAGACAAACAAAUAGGGGACACGUCCGGUGUCGAUGUCAAAACCGACCAAUCUUAAGUAGGGGGUCCGUGAACAUUUAGGGAUCAUAUUUGUAAUGUCUGGUUGUAGAUGCUCUGAGGUGGGAUGGAUGCAUCUCUCUAUGAAUAGUGUGCCACUUGUUUUGGCUAGGGACCAUUGCAGCUAUAUCUAGACAUGAACAGCCCGGCCCGGCCCGCCGAAAAUCACGAGUUGUGCUCGGGCCGAAAAGUUGAGCUCGUUGGUCACGUCGGGCCGGGCUCGGGCCUAUCGAAAAAUAAAAUUAAGCCGUAGUCAGGCCGGGCCGGUCGGGCCAGUCGUGUUUUUUUGACUUGGGCCGGGUUUGAGCUUAAAAUUCAAGCCCGACGGUCGGGUCGGGUCGGGCUCGGGCCUGGAAUUUUAGCACGUGGCAUUUUCUGGCUCGACCUGGAAAAUAGCCGGGUAUAAUUGCAGCCAUCAACAAACUUUGUAAGACAUGGUUCUAGGUGGCACCAGAGUGUAUUGACUCUCUCUUUAGUGAUUUGCAUAAAAAUGCAACAAUUCCAACUUAAAAAAACAUUGGACUCUUUCGGCACCUGCACACUGGUACAUGACCCGAUUGAUAGUGCGGAGCGUGCUGGCCACACGCCCGUUGUGCUGCCGAUUCCUGGCCAGUUGUCAACAGUCAACACACGUACAUACAAUCAUACAUGCACCGUGCAGGUCACUUUCCACGUACCCAGCAAUCCUCGCAAAAUAGCGUUAAAAAGAAACAAUUGCGACUUGCAAGCCAGGAGUCACGGGACGCAGCUCCUCCGUCCGAAGUUCGAUCGGGAGGGGUGCCUCCCAUCGCAUGCACUUGGCACUUGGCCACUUGGCCACUUGGCCAUGUUUAAUUACUCCCGCCUUUCACAAAGAAAGGGAAAUUUACUCCUGCCAACUUGCUCCGGUUCCGACCUUGCAAUUCUUUUGAACAAAAAUGUUGUGUAAGUUGCACGGAUGGCUAAGUGCAUGAGAGGCAUAUACUACGGAUAUUUUGUUGGACCGUGGUUAUCCCCCAUCCCUCGAACCAAACCAAGAUAUCCACGCCGGUGAAGGCGGGCGGUUUUUUCCGUGGUUUCACGGGGCUCUCAUCUUCAGGUCAGCAUUGUUCACCGCGGCGAUUUCAGGGGGACUCUUUGUCUCCUGGUCGACACUGUUCAUUACGGUGGUUUCGUGGCGCUUUUAUCUCUAGGUCGACAUUGUUUACAAUAGCGUUUCUUAUAUUUAUUUAUAGUGAAAGUAUGUUUUAGCUCUCGAUCAAAUAUUUUUGGAAUGAAUGUUUGAUUGCUAUCGCAGCAGUGGCACUGCCAUGGAAUAAAGUAGAAAACAUUACUAACUAAUCACUUGGUGAUGAUGCUCUCGUUGGUCGUCAUAAUAUGUAAUCUUAAUACUUAAAAUGCAACUAUCAUUUACAUGAAAGUAAAUGAUUUUGAAUCCUUGUUCGUAUAAUCACACACAAUUCUCUUUCAUGAUUCUAUAAUGAUGCUCUUAGUAAAGUUGGUCUUUUUUUUGUAUGACGCUUAGAGCUUUGUACUUGUUUCUUCUUUAUCUUCUAUAAUGAUCACACACAAUUCUCUUUCAUGGUUUGAAAAAAAUAUCAUUUAUACAAAAGUAACUAGCUACAUGUUAACACCCACUUUACUAAGAGCAUCUUCAACAGGCGCACAACGCGCGACGCGCUAAAAUCUGGUUUGCGGCGCGCCCAUCGUCAGGUUUGGCGCGGCGCGCAGCGCUCGCUCC